This 55868-nucleotide long non-coding RNA is filed under the name Prunus persica (peach). RNAcentral's name for it is "long non-coding RNA (PPER_LNC003694)". The record is from RNAcentral. Lineage: Eukaryota; Viridiplantae; Streptophyta; Magnoliopsida; Rosales; Rosaceae.
AGACCUCGACCUCUUACUUAAUUGGCUCAAAUGGCGCUUUCUAGGUAACAGCUGUGGAGCUGUCUGUAAAAGAAAAUAUGAGACCUUUUUUUCCACAUUAUUUAUGUACAAGCUGUUAUAAAGAAAUGAAGCCCACAUAGAUAAAGCUAUAGGGCAUUAGUCAAAAGAUAGAGAUAUAAUUAGAGGGUAUUAGUUAAAAGAUGGGAUAAUGAUGUUGGGGAGAAAUCAUUAUGUCUCCCUUAAAGGCCAUUUGCUUUGCCUAUAAAUAAACAUUAUAUUUGCUUGUAAACAUACGAAAGAGAAGAAGAGAAAGAGUAAGAGUCAGAGAGAAGAGAAAGAGUGGAGUCUAUCUGAGGAGAAAUUCUGCCAGUGUAAACACCACAAAGAGAAAUAUAAUUACACUCCCAAUAUUACAGUGGUACUUCUCAUCCUCUGACUACUCUAGUUUUAUAACACAAGCAUCCUUUUUAUGUUUUUUUUUUCUAAAUGAAAGAAAAGUUUGGGGGGAGAAUUGCGUAAAUUUUCGGUUUACUUUUUAUUUAUACAUUGGUAAAUUUUCUUUAAUUUUUGUGUUUAGAUGUAAAGAUUGUGUUGAAAAGAAUAGUCGUACCCAAAGAACAAUGGUGAGUUUGUCUUAAAUAUCUUGGAAGAAAAAAAAAGGGGGUUUGGACUUUGGAGGAGUCGUCAAUGGAGAAUGAGUCAAAAGUGUAUGUUACGCGUGAGAAGGUUAUAGGAUUAUUUGCUUCCAUGUCUCCUCAUAAGUUGGGAAUUUCUAUUUAUGAUAAUAAAUUCUUUGAAUUUCUUUGUGUAUGUGUGUCUACGAGACAAGACAAGACAAUAUUCAUAUAGAUUUUUUUAUUCUUUUUAAAAGACAUGGCAAUAUUCAUAGAUUGUAUAUAUUUUAAGUGGCUUAGUGGCAUGCGCUUCUCUUGGGGUAAAAGAGUUUAAGUAUGAGACCUCUCUCUCUCUCUUUAAAUGAUAGGACGAAAAGGAUCCAGAGUGGGCUUCUAGAUCUAUUUAUUUUGUGGCUUACUAUUAUCUUUUAGAAAAAGAUAAAUUGAGCAAAGAAUUCAUUAGUGUAAUGGUUUUGAUCAAUUAAUUCUUCGUAAAAUGUUCUGGAUUCGAGUCAUAGCAUCUAUGUAAUGUGUGUGAGUUUAGUAUGCUAUCACCCCUCUCAAUAAAAAAUGUAUUUUAAAAUAUAUAAAAAAUCAAACCCAACCCCCCAGAAUCGGCGUUGUUGCACUUUCACUACCACCCCCGACCUCCCUUAUUUUUGUAUUGGGGAAUGAUGGACUUGUUGACGUGAGUAUCCUAAUUAAUCAAAGAGAUUUACUUCCUUGAUUAAUUAAGGGAUUUACUUUCCUAUUUUUUAUAUAAGUGAUAAAUCAUUGUACAAUUAGGAGAUACUUUCCUAAUUCUUUGCUAUAUCUAAUUCCUUGUAAAACCUUCAUAUGUAAACUCCUAUUUAUACCUCCUUAUGGAGAAGAAUAAAGAACAACCUAAGAUAUUCAAACCAUAUUCAUAUUUUAGCAUGGUAUUAGAGCAAUCGAUCAUCGGUUGUCUCUAAAUCCUCAUAUCAAAUUUCUUCAAACACAAACCCUAAAUCCUCAUAUCAAACUUCUUCAAACAGAAACCCUAAAAUCAUAUUCCUCAAAUUCCUCAUAUUUCUCCAAAUUCAUAUUUCUCUUUACCAAAUUCAGAUCUCCAUCCACAUCCCUCAUAUCUUCAAAUUCCCAAAAACAUAUUUUUUUUACCUUUAAAAUUCUUCCGCUGCCAUGGAUGUCAUCUCCUCUUCAAACACCACCGACACCAUUCCACCAUCCUCCCAAAUUGUUACUAUCCACAGUGACAACGCUCCUUUCCCAAAUAGCGUCACCUUGCCUGAAACCAAUUAUGCCUUAUGGUCUCAAGUCAUGGAGAUGCGUAUUGCUACUCCAUGCAAGAAUAGAGGCAAAUCACUCGACACAUCUUCUGACUCAGCUCCUGUUAGUCAUGCAGUUCCAAUGGCACCAGCUCCUGCCUCUGCCUCUGUAACCACAACAGGACAUCCUCAGCUAGGGGUGGGUUCGGUCCGGUUCUCACCUCAAAUCGGAACCGAAAUCGGUAUUAUUUAACCGGUCCAGUUCGGUCCGGUUUAGGCAAAAAAAAUUUCAAAAACUAGCCGGUUCGGUUCUAACCAGUUCCGGUCCGGUUCUGACCGGUUCCGGUUUUGAACCGAAUUAUUAAUUUAUUAUUUUUUUAAAUUUUUUUUAAUUUUUUAAAUAAAAAAAUUAUAAUAAAAAACUUAUUUUUUUAGCUUAAAAAUGAACAAAUAAUCCAAUUCAUACAUUUAGAAAUUUUUUGAAGUUGAACUUGAAAAAUUAGUGAUUAUAAAAGUUAAAAAAUGGCAUUAGAUUUUAAAAUUUUGUAAAAAUAUAAAUAUAAAAUAUAUGACCGGUCCGGUUCGGUCCGGUCCGGUGCGGAGAGAUGUAAAACCAGAACCGGAACCGGUUGGAACCGGUUCGGUCCAGUUCCGGUCCGGUUUGUUGACUUUUUUGGUCAACCGGUUUUUUUUUCGAUUUUUUUUCACCGGUUCAGUUCGGUGUUCCGGUUUUCCGGUCCCGAUGCCCACCCCUAUCCUCAGCAGCAAGACGAUUGGUUGUAGUACUAGGAGGGGCAAACUCUACCCAAAAAAAAACGAGUGAAAGAGAUAUGUUUAUUGACGUAUCCCAAGAAGAUGUUGCUUAUUUCUUGACUCUGACGACCCCUUCUCUUCAAGGGGAGAAGGGGAGUGAAGAGAAGUUGUUUUGUCUCUAAACCCUUAUCUCAAAUUUCUCAAAUUUCUUCAAAUUUCUCAUAUUCAAAUCCAAAACCUUAAAUCAAAUUCCUCAUUUUUUUCCCCAAAUAUAAAUCCCUCAAAUCCUCUUAUCCAAUCCCUAAACACAUACCAUCAAAUCUUAUACACAUACCUCUUAAAUCUAAUUCCUACAUCAAAUUUCUCACAUCACCUUCCUCACCUUCUCAUAUCACGUCUUACUUCUGCUGCGAUGUCAAGAACUCAUACGAUUCUCUAUCUUAUUGCAGACUCACAGAAGUAUACGGUCAACCCAGACUCCUUCUUCUAUCACCACCACCAAAGGUUCUACUCUUCAUACGUCCUCCAAGAUCAGAUAUUGCAUAUGCUGUGAGUGUAGAAGAGUAUUUCAUGACUGACUUACCAAGUUGGGCAUUCGUGACAUAUAUGCACCAACUUGAGGAGGAGUGUUGACGUGAGUCUCCUAAUUAAUCAAGGAGAUCUACUUCCUUGAUUAAUUAAGGGAUUUACUUUCGUAUUUUUUAUAUAAGUGAUAAAUCAUUGUACAAUUAGGAGAUAUUUUCCUAAUUCUUUACUAUAUCUAAUUCCUUGUAAAACCUUCAUAUGUAAACUCCUAUAUAUACCUCCUUAUGAAGAAGAAUAAAGAACAACCUAAGAUAUUCAAACCGUAUUCAUAUUUUAGCAGGACUCCCCUGCUCUCCAAGUGUAUACAUUUUCAAAAGGCUAGAGGUCCUAAAGUGCUCUACUACUGGGACGUUAGUUCUAUUGCUUUAUGGUGUUUCGACUAUUGCUACUUUUCAGUCUUUCAUAUUGUUAUGUUUGUUUGUUUGUAGCACUUUGUUGCUUGAGUUCUUUCUCUUAGAGAAGUUUUAGUGUGUUGUAUGUUCUUCCCCUUUAUGUUGCUUGUUGCUGCAACCUUUCUAGCUUUUUAAUGCAAGCAUAUUUUCGAACAAAAAAAGAAAAAGAAAAAGGGGGAACAUGCAUGUACUUUAGCUUUUCAACUCUAUAAUUUAGGUUUUGAUUUCUACUUGAAUUGGCUAAUGAAUUGGAUUUGUGCAAACUUUUUUUGUCAAAAUUCUUUCUGGAUUGCGAUUCCUUUCUGAAUUGGGUGUUGAUUUGGUCAUUUUAUGUGUUUUCUGGGUAUGUGAAUUAUGUUGUUUUACUGUGACAAAUUUUCUGGGUUGGUUUCUACAAGUUAUGGGGUUGUGUUGAUAGAAAAGAAAAAGGAGGUUGUGACAAAGAGAAGACAAUAGAAAGAAAGGAAGAGAUGGGUAGGGCCACCGGUGACCAAUGCAGGUGGCGAGAGGAGGGUGGCAACGGUGGGUGCUGGGUUUGGUUUUUCUUUUUUCUUUUUUUUUUCUUUUUUGAAUUUUGAAUUUUUUUUAUUUUUAUUAUAAGGGCGAAAUUAAAAUUUAGGUUGUUAAAACAAUAUGGUGAUUAUCAUAAAAUACAACAAAAUUUAUAAUUGUUGAUGUGUCAUGUUAUAGGUCAUUAGAUUAUAACGACAACUAAGAUCAAGCGAAUUGCGAGAACAUGAGUAAAUUUUAAAUGCAAGGGCUCAGGAUCCGUCAUUGGGCAUGAUUAGCCAGGUGACAUUAAACCAAGCAUUGACCCUGCUGAUUCUUCUUUAUUUGGCCAAUGAUGCGUGACCCAAAUUCUCAAUUACCUUCGAAAAGGAAGUGUCCUUGUUGAUGGCUUGAUGCAGAAUGCAUAGGACCUAAAUUGAUUAGUUUCCUAGAUUCUCUAGUCUUCCAAAUUCUAGUAGGAUUUUUAUUUUAUUCAGGGUUAGGAUUUUUGUUUUAGCAAGGAAUUUUUAUCCUAUUAUCUCUAGGUUUUAGUUUGCUAUAAAUACCCCAUGUUCUUUAAAAUUCAUAUUUGAAGAUUUGUAGUUCUUUUUUAUAUUCUUUUUUGUUCUAUUGUUUCUAUCCUUUCUUUCGCCUUUUUGAUCCAUAUUUUCUUCUUUGGGUCUUAUAUUCUUCUCUAUUAUCUGUUUAAGUGCUUAAUCUAAUACUUACGAGCUAUACUACAUCAUAGCUGGUUGUAGUACUUGUCGAAGGGAGGGAAUUACUUUGUGACUCAAAAAAAUAAGAAAAAUGCUUAAUUGCUAUAAUGCACCCUAAAACAUUGGUCAAAUCCUACUUUACCACUUUAAAGUCAAAGCACUUCCCCCUUGACCAAGGUUUAAUGUUCCACAAUGCCCCCUGUUAGAAAUAUGCCCUUAAAGCCAACUAAUUAUGUACUAGUUAGAGUUAAGGACAUCUUUGAUAAAAGACAUUAUGUUAUUAAUGGGCAAGAAAUGUUGUUUUAUACAUUAAAUCAUCCUAUAUUAUUUUUCAAUAUGUAGAACAACCAUAGUCCAAGGAAUACACAAGUGGAUAUGAAAGCUAUGUAAUGAGAUUGCAUACAUGGAGACUUCUUAUCAUCCGUAAAUCCUGAAUAUGUUCCUGGUCAUAGUAAUAUUGAUUGGGCAUCAAUAUUCCGCAAAGACCAGUACACACAAUAUCGUCUCUAUAUGUAGGGAAUGACAAAGUCUCAAGUCAUUAAGUGUGGAGAUACAUCAAUAUGUGUGUAGAUGCUUGUAGAAGAACAAGUACGUUGAACGCAAUCCAACACAUAAGUUACAACAUGGAAGUCUUUACUCACAUGUCAAGCUGGAACUCAUAAAUUGCAAUGAUACAAACUAAUUCUUGGACCUGAGGCAUCAUAGAUGUUUUGUGGCUAUGUCGUUAAUCUUUGAGGGCACUAUACGAUCAUGCUGAAUUAGGCAUAGCUUAAAGGUGUUCAUCAGGAUUCUCAAUAGAGUCAUGGAAGCAAACGAAUGUAUAACAAGGAAUCUCUACUCUUAGUAAAGGAGAGAGAAUACUCCAACAUAUGAUUGGUCCAAUCUAUGCGCAAAGUAGUGGAUAAGACUUGAAAGAAGAAGUCUUCAAAUCUUACAAGGAUAGUCAUAUAAAAGGAAUGAUUCAAAUUAGGAUAUUGACAAUCGGAUUCCAUGAUCUAAUAAUGUGAAUAAGGGGUAUUGACAUAAGAGAAGGAUUCAAUUGCAUGGUCAUUCCAAUUUUAAAAGAUUCUUUCACAAUGUCUCAUUUAGCUCGGAUAACCAUGACUUGCUGCUAGCGACAACCAUUGUUUGUGGAUGUCCUAAAAUGUUUCAAUUAACCUUUAUUAAUAGGAAGAAUUUAAUUGUGGAAUUUAAUUCGUAUAUCAUCUAUGAGGAGUUGAGUCAACCCACUACCUUGCUAAAAGGAACCUACGGAUCUGCACAUCUAAAGAAUGUGAUUAGAGGUACAAAUGAGGAGAAAUGAAAUGAGAAGACACAAGGCAAUGGUUGAUUAUCAAAUGUCAAAGUCAACGGUCAAAAAUCAACAUGUUAACCGGAGCAAUUGACCAAAGUCAAAUAGUUCGACAGGGUCAAUUAAGUAAGACUAUAAUUAUAAUUUAAUAGUUAAAUUAUAAUUAAAAGAUUAAUUAUGGAAUUAAUAUUGACAUAUAUAAAUAUUGGAUUAGGCUUUUAAAUAUGAUUUAAAAUGAAAUGGACAAAAUAGUCCAAAAGGCUACUGGGCCCAAGGGAUAAGUGGCAUAAGAUAACAUGCCCCAUGGACCAAAUAGAGCAUCAAAUACCCACCCAAUUGCCUUUUGUGUUGUCCGAUAUAAGUUAAGUGUUGGAGAAAACCUAGCUAGGGUUUUUUGGUUUCCUACUUUGGUUGAUGAGUGAUCAUCUUUGUAUCUCAUCUUCCAUAGACCAAAAAUUGGUCCAAUCAAGAAGUAGACUAGCAACCAUACUUCUUGAUUGCCUUUUCUUCAUCUCUAAGAGCAUUUGGUGUGGUAAGGGUAGGGCUGGCAAUGGGUCGUAUCGUGUCUGGUUCGUGUCGUGUCGGGAUAAUAAAAGUGUCAAGAAUGCUCAAUCCGAACCCAAUCCAUUUAAUAAAUGUGCGUGUGUCGGGUUUGGGUCGUCUUUUAUCGUGCGGGUUUCGAGUCGUGUACCGGGUUUAUAAAUGAUAACAUGCAUGUUACAAAACUCACAACUGAAAAAAUUUAAAUAAAAUAAACGGAGAGAGAAGAGAAAAUAUAAGGAAAAGAAAGAAAGAAAAAAGAUAGAGAGAAGGAAAAGAAGAGAGAGAGAGAGAGAGAGAGAGAGAGAGAGAGAGAGAGAGAGAGAGAGAGAGAGAGAGAGGAGAGAAGUGAGAAGGAAAGGAAAAAAAAAAAAGAGGAGAGAAAACUAAAGAGAAGGAAAAGAAAAAAGAAAAGAGAAAGGAGAAGAUAGACGGAAAAGAAAGAAAAACAAAAGAAGAAAAGAAACAUUAUAAAUAUCAAAAGGCAUAGUAUAUAAUCACAAAGUUGUAUGUAGCAUGAUGGAUAAGGUGUUGAAGAGGAAUGAGGGUGGUGGGGGUUCAAAACCCCCUUGUGUGUGUUUUGAAGUCUCCAUUUCUCUUCAUUUUUUCGCGGGUUGGCGUGUAUUACAUGGGUUGACAUGACCCGUUUGAUAAAUGGGUCUAACGGGUUAAACAUGUAUUUUAAUGGGUUGGCGGGUUGACCCGAAACCCACUCGAUUACCCAAUUAUUAAUCGUGCGGGUUGGGGUCAUGUUUUUUCCUUGUGGGUUUCUAGUCGUGUAACGGGUCAUGUAGGAAAUUGUCACCCCAGGUGAGGUAGAGGACUCCAAUCUUGAAGCCUUGAGGUAAAUAUCUAUUCCCUUUUUCUAUUUAUGUUCAAAGACACUAGGCUAAGAUACUUGGUUUUAAAUGAAAAAUGUUUAGCUCAACUAGUGUAAACAAAAUGCAUCCGCCAUUUAGAAUGUUUUUGUUAUAUAGGUUGUGGCUAAAGUUCAUUUCCUAAGCAUUAGAUGCAUGUUUCCUUCACCCUAUACCGUCAACUCCAUCCAAAAGUUUGUAAGUUUGAUGACGUGGCCUGGUUGUUUUAGUAAUUUUGUGCAUCUAAGUCAUUUACUCACCAAUUUGAGUUGGUGAUGUGGGGAAGUGGAGCCCACCUCUAGCAUGGAUAAAAAAAAUUAAUAAAAAAUUUUAAUUUUUGUUGAAUCAUUAAAAAAAAUAUUAUUUUAGAAACAAUUGAAGGAAAAAAAUUGCUAAUUUUCAAAAAAAAAAAACAAAAAACCUAGAACCCACUGACCCAAAAAUAGACACCAUUUCUUCUCUAGUAUUUCCCCAUUACCCCCCGCGCAGAACCUAGAAACCCUCCCAUCCCCCCACCCCCUCCCUCGAUUUCAUUUAUGCUCCCCCCUGUCCCCAUCGCAACCCACCUAGACCUAUCCUUCUAGCCCCUUACCCGCAUAGCCUAGAGUCGAGUGCAAAAGAAGCCAAAGGAGCUCGUCUUGGCAAUCGAAGGUGAUGAAUUGGACGAGUAGGGUGUUGGUGUCGAGGUACUUGUGGUGGCAGAUGAGAGGGUGAAGGAGGGCGAGGAGGGGUGAGGGGCUUGGAUUAGGGAAUAAGUGUGGGCCUGGGCCCAUUGGAAGAAUGAGAGGGCGCUGGGCUUGUUUGCUAGGGUUUUGAAGCUGAGGAUGGAGAUAAGGAUGAGCUACGUGAGGUAGGGAAUGUAGGGUUUAAGGGGUUGGAGUUGUGGGGUUUUGGCAGCGAUUAAGAAGCUGGUUAUGGUUUGGAGUAGUUGAGGUUGGGUUAAAGCUUUAGUUGGGUUGGCUAUGGAGAUGUGAAAAUUUCAAUUUUGAGAGAGAGAGAGAGAGAGUUUCAAUUUUUAAAAUUUAAAAUUUAUGUUUGUAUUUUAAUUUUUUUAAGGUAAAUAAUGUUUUAUUUUUUUUCAAUCUAUGUUGGAAGUGGGCUUCACUUUGCCACAUCACCCACUUAAAUUGGUGAGUAAAUAACUUAGGUGACUUUGGGUGCCAUUUGUUUGAGAUGGCUCGAAUUUAGGCCCAUCAUCUCUUACCGACUUAACUCGGAGUUCUCCCAACUCACUGUUUAAUUGCCGAUUUAUUCAAUAUAUUAUCGGCUGCCUUUCUUCUAACAGAGAAAAAUCCUUAACGGUUUCUUUCACAGAACCAGACGCCAUGGUGUUCAUCACAUCCCCCAACCACAAAACCCUAACCCUAAAUCUAAACCCGAAGACCACCACCCUCCAAACCCUAAAGCUCCAAAUCGAACAAAAAUCCCAAAUACCCAUCUCAGAGCAGCGCCUAUUCAUCUCCCAAAGCCUCCAAUUACUGACCCAAACCGGCUCCACCCUCCUUUCCGACCUCGGCAUCAGACCCCUCUCAACCCUAACCCUCCACAUCCCCUUGUUCGGCGGCACCCAACCGCCCAACGUCCCCAAGCCCCGCCUCGAGUUCCUCAACUCCAAGCCUCCCCCAAAUUAUGUCGCUGGGCUCGGCCGUGGUGCCACUGGGUUCACCACACGAUCCGAUAUCGGGCCCGCCCGGGCCGCCCCCGACCUGCCCGAUAGGUCGGCCACGACAAUCGGUGGCGCUGCUUCUGCUGCUGCCCCGCCUGGGGUUGGCCGCGGUCGUGGGAAGCCUGAGGAAGAGGAAGAAGAUGAAGGAGAGGAUAAAGGGUAUGAUGAGAAUCAGAAGUUUGAUGAAUUCGAAGGGAAUGAUGUUGGGUUGUUUGCAUCGGCUGAGUACGAUGAUGAGGAUAAGGAGGCUGAUGCGGUUUGGGAAGCUAUUGAUACGAGAAUGGACUCGAGGAGAAAAGACCGGAGAGAAGCUCGGUUGAAAGAAGAGAUUGAGAAAUACAGAGCUUCGAACCCAAAGAUCACGGAGCAGUUUGCAAAUUUGAAGAGAAAGUUGUACACCGUGUCUGCUCAGGAAUGGGAGAGCAUACCCGAAAUUGGAGACUAUUCAUUGAGGAACAAGAAGAAGAGGUUCGAGAGCUUUGUGCCGGUGCCCGAUACGCUUUUAGAGAAGGCGAGACAGGAGAAGGAGCAUGUUACGGCUUUGGACCCCAAGAGUAGGGCAGCUAGUGGUACGGAAACGCCAUGGUCUCAAACUCCGGUUACAGAUUUGACCGCUGUAGGUGAGGGUAGAGGUACUGUGUUGUCAUUGAAAUUAGAUAGGCUUUCUGAUUCUGUUUCUGGGCUGACGGUUGUGGACCCAAAAGGGUACCUUACUGAUCUUAAGAGUAUGAAGAUUACUAGUGAUGCUGAGAUUUCUGAUAUUAAAAAGGCCAGAUUGUUGCUCAAGAGUGUAACACAGACGAAUCCGAAGCACCCACCUGGUUGGAUUGCGGCUGCAAGGCUAGAGGAGGUGGCUGGGAAGAUUCAAGCAGCCAGGCAGUUGAUUCAGAAAGGGUGUGAGGAGUGUCCCAAGAGUGAGGAUGUGUGGUUAGAGGCGUGUAGGCUUGCUAACCCGGAUGAAGCUAAGGCUGUGAUUGCCAAGGGAGUCAAGACGAUACCCAAUUCGGUGAAGUUGUGGAUGCAGGCUGCAAAACUAGAGCAUGACGAUUUGAAUAGGAGCAGAGUGUUGAGGAAAGGGUUGGAACACAUUCCUGAUUCUGUUAGGCUGUGGAAGGCGGUUGUGGAGCUGGCAAAUGAGGAAGAUGCAAGACUUCUGCUUCACAGGGCCGUGGAGUGUUGUCCCUUGCACAUUGAAUUGUGGCUUGCACUUGCAAGAUUGGAAACUUAUGAUAAUGCUAAGAAGGUCCUCAAUAAGGCAAGAGAAAAGCUAUCAAAGGAGCCAGCCAUUUGGAUCACUGCGGCCAAGUUAGAAGAAGCUAACGGGAAUACGUCCAUGGUUGGGAAGAUUAUUGAAAGAGGUAUAAGGGCCUUGCAAAGGGAAGGAUUAGCAAUUGAUAGAGAAGCGUGGAUGAGGGAGGCUGAAGCUGCUGAGCGUGCAGGGUCUGUUGCAACUUGCCAAGCAAUCAUUCGGAACACAAUUGGGAUUGGUGUGGAGGAGGAGGAUAGAAAGCGCACAUGGGUUGCUGAUGCAGAGGAAUGCAAGAAAAGGGGUUCGAUUGAGACAGCCAGAGCUAUUUAUGCUCACGCACUUACUGUGUUCUUAACCAAGAAGAGCAUAUGGCUCAAAGCAGCACAACUUGAAAAGAGCCAUGGGACUCGGGAAUCUCUUGAUGCUUUGCUUCGUAAAGCAGUGACAUAUCGACCACAAGCUGAAGUCUUGUGGCUUAUGGGAGCUAAGGAGAAGUGGCUUGCUGGGGAUGUGCCUGCUGCCCGUGCCAUCCUCCAAGAAGCUUAUGCUGCUAUACCCAAUUCUGAAGAAAUUUGGCUUGCUGCAUUUAAACUUGAAUUUGAGAACCAUGAACCUGAGAGAGCUAGAAUGCUUCUUGCCAAAGCCCGAGAAAGGGGAGGCACAGAAAAAGUUUGGAUGAAAUCAGCAAUUGUUGAGAGAGAGUUAGGGAACCUUGAUGAGGAGAGGAAGUUACUUGACGAGGGAUUGAAGCGGUAUGCUAGCUUCUUUAAAUUGUGGUUGAUGCUUGGACAACUAGAGGAACGGCUUGGUCAUUUGGAAAAAGCCAAGGAGGCUUAUGACUCAGGUCUGAAGCACUGCUCCAAUUCUAUUCCACUCUGGCUUUCUCGUGCUAAUCUGGAAGAGAAGAUGGUUGGGCUGAGUAAAGCUCGUGCAGUUCUCACGAUGGGCAGGAAGAAGAAUCCUCAGAAUCCUGAAUUGUGGCUUGCUGCUGUUCGAGCUGAAUUGAGGCAUGGCAAUAAGAAGGAAGCUGAUAUCUUGAUGGCAAAGGCUUUGCAGGAGUGUCCCAAUAGUGGUAUCUUGUGGGCUGCAUCUAUUGAGAUGGUACCCCGUCCCCAACGGAAGACCAAGAGUAUGGAUGCCCUCAAGAAAUGUGAUCAUGAUCCCCAUGUCAUUGCUGCUGUGGCAAAGUUAUUUUGGCAUGAUAGGAAGGUUGACAAAGCUAGGAAUUGGCUAAACAGGGCAGUGACACUUGCUCCAGAUAUUGGGGAUUUCUGGGCUUUAUACUACAAAUUUGAACUUCAACAUGGGACUGAGGAGAACCAAAAGGAUGUACUGAAAAGGUGCGAAGCUGCAGAACCAAAGCAUGGUGAAAAAUGGCAACCUAUUUCAAAGGCUGUGGAGAACUCUCACCAAUCGUUUGAAGCUAUCUUGAAGAAAGUGGUGGUUGCUCUUGGGAAGGAAGAGAGUGCAGCCGAAAAUAAUAAACACUAGUUCUGGCUUGUUUUUUCCAGGUUAUGUUGGAAAACGUUGUAGUACAGAAAGAAAAUCGAUGUCUAGUGUCACUUGUCAUCCGGUUGGCAAACGUUGCUAUAAUUUUAGCUUUGCUCAUUUGAUAUAUUUCCUUGCUGAUGAAGUAUGGCUUAAUUGAUUGUUCGAAUUACGAUGGUAUGUCUUGACAUAUAAAUUUUCAUCUGUGUUCUUGUGCGUUUUCCUUUUGGAUUUUACACACUCCCUUGUAGAUUAGUUUGAUUCAUAUCUGACUGCAUUUAGUUAUGACAAUUGCCCUUCUUUAUGAUUUCCCUUCUGCGAUUUUCUGCAGUUCCGCUAUUUGGUCAUCUAUCUUUAAGCAUCCUCUGAGCAUAGAAACAGCUUAUUGCUUGCCUGCUUGGACUUGAACACUAUGUUACUGUGCCUUAUUCUUUUAUCCUAAGAUGCAACGGUUACUUCUCGAUUUCCUACUUGAGUUUUGUAUGUGAAUUGACAAAAUUAUUUAUGUGAAUGUUUUUCUCAUAUUGCUCGACCCUGAAUUCAGCAGUAAAAUUGAUGGCAACAUAUAGUUUUCAUUUUUUCCUUUUUAAGACUACUGUCAUGUGAGGCUCUGUAAUCUAUGGUUAUGGAAACAAAAUGUUGACAUGUCAAUGAACUGGGCUUCUUCAAUUUAAAGGGGGAAAUAAGACUGUAUUUGGCUUACUCUUUGUUACAUAACCAUCCAAGUCUAUUACUUUUCUGUCAUAUUAUAUGCAUUUCCUUUUAUAUCCUGUCAUUUUUCUGCCUGGUUUGUGGUUUCAGUUUAUGGUAGGGGAUUCCUAGGUGAUAGGGAUUUCUCUAAAAUUUAGGCCCAAGGGUUCAUAGAGAUAGGAGAGAUUAAGGAAGGGGGAACUAGGGCAUUUGGUUGUGUAUUCUUUUAAUUUGUGUUCAAUUGUCAGGGAUUAGGUUUUAUAUGUAGUAGUUUGAUCCAUCAUUUAAUGGCCACUGAAAACAUUGGUGUGGUUAUGCAUUUUCUGGUCCACAGAAUAUAUUUGAAUCAACUCUCAGCUUAUUGAGCUGUGGGCUUUUAUUGGAUUCGUUUUUAUCAACAAGCUCUUGAACUGAUAGGAUUCUCCGUGAUCUUUCCUUCCAAGAACAAAGACAGUCUUAUAAGCUAAUUUAGUCUGGUAAGCUGGCUUGUAUUUUGUUGGGAAAUGUGCGGGUGCUUUCUGUUGGCUUAUGUUAAAUGCAGUUUGUUGUAUUAUGUCCUUUGUCCUUUCUUUGUUUAUGCUUGUAGAAGGGGUUGCCUCGGUGGUCCGGUUGUCUUUGUAAUCUAGGCUCAAUCUCAGAGUCACUAAAUUUUGUAUCCUUGCAUGCAUCUGGUGGUGCAUUGCUACAGUCAAGAUUGACAAUACUAGGGUACAUGGUCGUGCCCUUAAUGUUCAUGUACUGGGCAUUCAAAAUCGAAACUUUCUAUGUCUUUCGGCAACCCUUUAAAAGGUGAUGGGCAAAAUAAUGUCCUCAGAAACCAAAGUAGAGAGGGUGUGUGAAAACCAAGCCAACUCUCGAUCCUAAACCGAGGGCAUUCUCGCAUCUCGCAGGUCAUCUUCUCGACGUUGGUUACGGAGUCACCAUUUGCUGGUGGUGACACAGUUAUCGACUUCAUUUCUGAAGACUGCACUGUUGCUUCAACCUCAAUGUCUGGGAAAUUCAAGUGGACCAACUAUAUAUUUUCCUUUUGGUAUCACAAUGGUUUGUUCUGCCUUGUAGAAAAGCCUAAACCAGCCAUCACCUACAGAGUCACAGUAUGUAACGCGGGCUCCAACCAAGGGCAUCGAUCCAGUGACAUUAUAAAGUUCAUCCAUCCGAUCCCAUUAAGUCAUACCAACAAUAGAAGAAUAAGAUAAUUAGCUCGCCCCCAAGUGGAAACAUAAUUAAUUAACAUAAUUUAAGGAUUUUACGGGCCAAUUAGUGCCUAAGCGAAGGCUAGCAGCACCAAAAAGUAGAAACACUGACCUUCAAGCUUAGAAAUGGAGAAAUGUUUGUAACGGUAAACGUCACGUGGUAUGCCGAUGUGGUAUUAUGAAUUCUGUGUACGUUCCAACAAGAUGAAAGACACAUGGAAACUCAUAUUCUAACAAUGAGAACAUUCAAAAUCUAGAAACUUUAUAAGACGAAAGAGAACGGAGAACGAAUUAGUUGUUGAACUUGCUAGAAUUGAUAAUCAAUGAUGCAUCCAUAGAUGCAAAUCUAGAGAAUUGAUGGAGCAUGAUGUAGCAUAGACCUAACCAUGUUGCAUAACCCAGUUCAAACUAGCACCAUUGUUGAGCCAUUAAAUGUAGUCUAUUUUUCAGAGUCAAAAUCUCUUUCUUUUCUUCUCUUUCCUGUUUCUUUAAAAGAAUAAUUGCUAUAUAUUGCUCGUUGCUUAUCUUUGCUUCCAGUACAUAAAUGUAAUGAAUCAAGUCUAAUGAAAUUAAGUUUUAUCUUAUGAUUGUGUCACUGUUUUUUUAAACAUUGCUUCUUGUACUGAACUAUGGGAUUUUUUUUUUAAUAAUUUUUUUUCUAGAUUAGUGUUGAAGUACAGUGCUGAAGUCUGUUUGUGGUUUUGGACAGAGGACCAUUUGAGGUAAGAACCUCUUCUUCUCAUUACACUUAGUUCCAUUUUGUUUUCUUAUUAACAGCUAUAGUGGUUGUCAAUGUCAUUGUGGUGUUGUUUGUUUAAAGUUAUUAAAAUGGCAUACAUGUUUUGUAUUGUGUUGAGAAGUUAUGCAACCCAUGUUGGUUAAGCUGUGGAUUAUACUUUGGAUUUUAUGAUUUAUGUUCUCUAAUGGGUUUGUGCUAUGCAUGAUAUUAGUCUUUACAUUGAUUUUUCGGAAUUGUUUUCCUUAUUAAUUUGUGGUAUUUGUUAUUAUCACAAAGGUAUCCUUUAGACAGUUAAUAUUGAGAGGUAUGAAAAAUGAAUUCAAUUUUUAUUAAGUUUGUUCAAAUAUCAUUCUCGAACAUUCUUAAAUAUUGAUGACCAGUAAUCAUUUUUCUUUUGUAGAUCCACUCUUUUUAACGGCUUAUUUAGUUAAGAUUGUGAAUUUCAGCUUUUGGGCAAGAUUUCUUGUAAUUAUGUUGUCGAAAAUUGUUUGUUUUUGGUCUCUUAAGUAUAUUUUUAUAUUUAAAUUUUCUUGGUUUUGGCUUCUUCUUGACCAUUGGCAUUUCCUUGUUUUGUUUCUUUUGAAAAGGAGGAUGAUUGAUGAGUUUGAGAAGAUCAAGCAACAAUUGGCAUUGUUUGGGAAUUCCACGAUAUUAGAUCACAGUCCCUAUCCCACAGGUGUUAAAGAUCAUGACUACCAAACUCAGAAUUACAAAAGGCAUAGUAUACAUGCAUUUUUUUUUAGUCGAAACCUAGUCUUAGAGUGGGGAAAUAAUUAUUGCAGAACUUGGGUUUUCCAAGGGCAAGAAUAUAUGGAGCUUGGCCUCCAAUCUUUGAGUAGGGAGUUCUUCACUCGUUUAUGUAUACUAAUUUUGGAUAUGUUAUGUGUACCUAAAUAACUAGUAUGCUCUUGUGUACUUUUCAAUGAGAGAAACUUUUAUUCAUAUCAUUUUCUAUUGAUCUAUUGAUCUGUUUAUUUAAAUUUAUUGUUUUUUGAAAUUACAAUAUGUUAAGGAACAAAAGGUUAAUAUUAUCACAAAACAGAACAUAAAUAAAAUAAUUAAUAACACCUACAAUAUAAAUAUUUUAGCGACCAAAUAAGUAAGCUUUAGCGACCAAAUCCGGUAGUCAUCAGUACCUAUUGGCGACAAACAAAUCUAUUUGGUCACCGAAUCCUUCCUCAGUUCGCAGUAAAUUUUGGUAUUUUUGCAGGAAGCAAUCUUUAUAGGCGACCAACUGAUUACUGUAAGGUGACGAAAUCAAUUGGUCGCGUAAAGGUUUUGACGACGAAAAUUAGUUUUCGUCGCCCUUUGUCAUCUGGUACUUUCAACCACAAGCCUUAGGCGACAAAGCUAGUGACGAAAUUAUUUCGUCGCUAAAGGGUUUUGGCGACAAAAUGUCAGCUUUUAGCUACCAAAGGUAGUGGUCGCCAAAAGGGGUUUUCCUUGUAGUGUAGCUACAAGGGAGUUCAAAGAUGUUUCCAUAACAAACCUUUGAAUCUCUUCAGUAACUUGGAACACAAUAUAAUCUGAAAUUACCAGGGCCGGUCCUGACUUUUGGGUGGUCCUAAGUGAUAAAUUAAGAUAUAUUUAGUCAUAUAUCCAUUCUUAGCACUAAAACUGUAAAUAAACCCUACACUAUUUAAUUUCUACAUACAAACCCAAAAAAUAACAAUUGGCCAUAUUGAAUUUAAUUUUGAUUAUUAAAUUACUUUGAUGUCCUAUUGAGUGUUUUGGGCUUUUUUAUGAGGUUUUUGGGUUGGGUUUAUUUUAAGAAAUCAUGGCAGUUUUGUAAUUUAAAAGAAGUUAUAAGCCUUUUUAUUAUGUUGUAAAUAAGUUUUGGGUGUGUUUCUAAAGUCCAUUUCAUAUAGGGUUUGUUUUAUAAUUUGGGCUCCUAUAUUGAGUAUAAUAGUGAAUCUCCCAUAAAUUAAUAAUGGGGCCCCUUCUUUAGUAUACAAUAAAGCUUGAUACGAAAGGAAAAAGAAAGUGUUCGUUCAUUCUUUUUGGUUUAAACAUAAUAAUUUCAUUCUAACAAAACAAAAGUACAUGAAUCAUAAAAAAUAAAAAUUAUAUUUAGGUCCAUACAUAGUUAGAUAGCUUCUAACAUUCAACAAAACAACCUAUUCUUUGACAGUAAGUUCUCAAGUAGUCUCUUUUUUGGGCCCAAAGGUGUUCAUUAACCCAAUAAAGAGAAUCAACAAACCACCUAACAAAAGAUAAAGGCCAACCCCAACAACAAUCUGAGAAAGGAAAAGCAAGAACAAAACUCAACAGAGACCAGCAUAUAAGGUUUAGGGUGGGAAAAAAUAGUUUGUUGGAUAGGGAAAAAUAUAAAGAAAAAUUCAUAAAUCUGAUUACCUUUUCAAAUUCCCAUGCUCAUCUCCUCUUGGUCACCAUCAAUCUCAAAGACAAAGAUCAAAAAAGAAAAAUUGUGAGCUUUUCAGUGAGAGAUCGAUUCUUUUAGGGUUACGAUAUGAGAAAAGAGGUAUAAGAUAAACUGAAAAUAAUAGGAGAGAGAUUGGGAGAACAUAGAAUAAUAUGGUGGAUUAAAUAGAGAGCAUGUUCCAUGGAGAAACUAGGAGUAGGAGAACCAAAGUCUUUUGGAAAGAGGAGAGCGUAGGGAAGAGAAAGUUUGUUUCUUUAUGGGCACAUGCUCCUUAUCGUUGUAUAUGUGGAAGUUGUACCCCCUUCUACUAUAUGAAUGCAUUUAGUUCAUGGAAAAUGAGACUUAAGUAUGGGAAAUGAGGCUUGGGGAUGGAAAAUUAAUUGUUUUCCCAUGUUUGGUAAGUCUAGGCAUGAGAAAUGGCUACUAGGCACAUGGAAAAAUUUGGGGGAAAAUGUCCUUCCCCCCGGGUUUCAUUUUCCUUUCACAUGGGAAACUUUGGGAAAAUGGGCCAGUAUUAAAUGCACAUUUUUCAUGAUCAUUUUGUCCCUAUCAACAAUAUCUCAUGUAAUGUAUUAUUUUUUUAUUUGAUUUAAUAUCGGUAUAAUUGAAAAUUUAUACACACUUUGUUUUCCAUUCCUACUCAAAACAAACAUGUGAAAGGAAAUAAAGUGAUAUCUCCGGUUACUUUCCCAUCAUUACCAACCAUGGAAAAUGAAUCUUCCAUUUCCCAUGCCUUGGGAAAUGAUAUAAGAAGUGAUAUCUCCUCAAAUCCGUUCCGUAAACCAAACGGGGCCUAUAUGUAACAAUUGUGCAAGAUGCCCUACAAAAACCACAACAACAUGCCCACCAACCUAAAUGAAAAAAAUAACUGAGUGAUAUGUACAAAGAUUAAUAGUAUAACCAAACAUGUAAAAUUUAAUACCAAUUGUUUGUGCAAAUAUUCUCACGGGAGAAUAUCUGAGUGAUAUGUACAAAGAUUAAUAUAGUAUAACCAAACAUCUAAAAUUUAAUACCAAUUGUUUGUGCAAAUAUUCUCACGGGAGAAUAUCCGCUUCUAGAUCCUUCGCACUUUGAACUUCUUUCUCUCUUUUCUUCGGUUCCUGUAAAAAAGACCUGAGUAAAUAGACCACACUCGAGGGGUGUUGACCAAAGGCCCUCCGAUGCCUAAGUUAGUUCGAUUGUAUCUAGGUGAAACAAUAGCUAAAAAAUUGUACGAAGUUUUCUCUGUGGUGAGAACCGGGUGGCUGGAGCCAUGUGGAGAAACAAAUAUGGAGGAGUCGUCGGCUAGAGAGAGAGAGGGGCAGAGAUUUUGGGGUAUUUUUAUAGGGUUUCAGAACUAGGUUUAGAGUUAACUUGAGUGUUGAAUAAAGCCAUGUAUUUAUGGGGCUCUAGGCAUCUAGGGCUUUUCAAAGAAUAAACUCUUAUUUGGAAGGAGUUUAUUCUUUCCCCAAAUUGUAGAGAUUGAGUCCAUAAGGAUUUGAUUGGGAUCAAAUCUCCUAAUUUGAUGAUGAUAUCUCCAAAUUAAGAUAAUAUCUUAAUUGGUAAUAUUAUCUUUUUAAAUAAUGAUAAUAUCCCUGUUUUUAGUAUCAAUUAAUUGCCAAAUAAAUGAGUUUAAUUAAUUGACCCAUGAGAUAUUCUUCUUGUCCAUGUGACUUCUCGUGAUUGGAAGCCAAAUCAUUUGCUCCCACAAAUGUUGGACCUUUUGCAUGGCGCUUGUGUGGCAUGUAGGAAAUGAAAUUAUUCUUUGAGCUUUCCAAUUGUAUCUUGAUGUUCUUCUUUAAAUUGGACUCCUUUUGCAAAUUGGGUUCCCAAUUAAAGUGGGCUUUUGACUUUCCUUGGAGUUAGGCUCCCAAUAGAAAUAGGCUUGUGUUUUCUUCUUGACUUAGGAUGCCCAACCUUCAUAAAUACAAGACUCCUCCUCACUUUCCUUCAAAUCGCGAACUUGUCUUCUCUACUUUCUAGCUUGAGAGAGAUCUUGGGGAAUUUGUACUGCUUGUCGAAGAGAGGAGUUGCCGUGCAUCUCAAGGUAAGUGAAGCAUGUGUAUUUUUUUCUUCGUUUUUUCUCCUUUGCGGCGAGGACUGGUCCGAUGGGUUCUGCCAAUUGUCGUCUUGACAUCGCUAUCGAGGACCAACGGUAGGAUGGAAUAGAUAGGCAAAUUGACAGUCGCGCGGCUGGAUAGACUAGAUAGGCGAAUUGAUAGUCGCCCAACUGCUGCUGCCGCUGCUUGCAGUGUUGGAGGCUCCGCUGCUUUUUCCGCUUCAUGUGUCGUGAGCUAGCUACUAGAUUGUGACUCUUGCUGCGAUUCAGUAGUUGGGUUGCGUCGCGCGUCUUGCUACGGGCUCUGGUGGCAGUAGGCCACUGCUACUACCUUGGCGAUUGUUGGUUGCAGCGGCGGUCUUUUUUUCUUUAGCGAUGGGGCUCGCUGCAACUUGGGCCUUUUGCUCGAGCUGCUCCGUGGCUUGCCUUGCAACUCAUGCUUCUUCUUUUUCUUUUUGAACCUCAAUUCUAGAGUUUUGACAUGCUAUAUGAAUUACAAUUUUCUUCCCUUUUUGGAGUUGUUUAUUGAUCAUGUCUUUAGAGGAUGGUAGCUGAGCACCAAGCUCUCAUGUGCCUUAGUAUCUGUAGGGAGGCUCCAAAGUGCAUAAGAGGAGAUUUGUGACUAAUCUCCACCUCGUUACGUCUGAAGCUCAGUUCUAGAAGUGGCCACUUAUGCUUCUGCCAUUCCUGAUUACGUGCAUGUUAGGAUGGUGGAGUCUUUCACUGAUGAUGCGCCUUGUGUAGAUGCGAAUGAUCCAGACGCUAGAAUCAUCACCUUCCGUCCCUUUUAUUUUUCCUUGGGCUUCAUGUUCCCGUUGUCAAAUUCUUCAGGGUGGUGUUUUGCACCAUGGAGUGUGCUUGAAGUCAGUGUACUCCAAACGUCUACCAAGCCAUCAUGUGCUUUGAGAAUUUAAGCCGUUUCUUCAAGCUGGAGCUGACGGUGUUGGAGUUUUUCUACUUCUUCAAAAUGGGGCGAUACAAGAAGUAUGCUCAAGUCCGUGUAUGCAAAGUCAAGUUGUUUGACAAUUUCUUUAGAGUUUGAGUAUUUAGGUUUGAUUUUGUUAUGAAAAAUUUGUUGAUUCUCAAAAUAAAGAAAAACACAUAUGUAGCUCAGAAAAUAACCAAACAAACACAAUUCAAGAGAGAAACCCCUAAAUUGCAGUGAAUAGUAACUUCUGUCUUGAACAGUGUUUUAGGGAUUUUUUUUGUCCAUUUUUGAAGCAAAAUACAUUUCUAAAUAGGGAAUGACCUAAUUAACACAACUCACUACUUUGCUGUGACAUAUGAGAAUUUUUAAGGUUUUAAUGUCAUUUUGGUAGGUCAAAAACGUGUUUAAAGUUUUGAAGAUAUGAAAAAUCAAAUUAAAAUAUGUUUUUCCAUAUUCUUUAAUAUUCUUGAUAUUUAGAAGAAAAAAAACAUGUUUAAUCCAUCUUCAAAUUUUAAACAUAACCAUAAACUCAUCAUGGCAUAAACAGAUAAGAAAUCGUAAUAGGUAUGGUUGAAAAACGAUUUCAAUGUGUGCGAAUAACUAGGUGCUCUGAUACCAUUGUUAGAAUUCUUUAUAUGCAUGUUCAAGAUCUUCCACACAAUCUGAAAUACGUAAAGACAUACCUGGCCCAAUAUUCCUUGAGUACACGACCUCUGAACUCAUUCAACCGUAGCAACAACAGUACUUCUGCUCUCUCUCAGAAUCUGGUUAAGCUCUUUCUUUAUGAUGAGAUUAGGGUUAGAGAACGUGUCUAACGAGAGCAGGGUCUUAAGCUUAUAUAGGGGUAGGUCAAGUCGUCUCUACUCAUCACCAAUGGCCGACUUGACUAAUCUUCCAAGCCCACCAAGCAAUGGUUCACGGAAAAAAAAGAAAUAAAUAGGACCCCUUAAUAGGCUUCAAAACCUUUCCUUAUUCCACAAGGUUUUGGGCCUUCAGGUAUAACCUAAUUUAAACUUUUAUCAAAAUAUGAUAUAACUUAAUAUCUACUGCACCGAUCUAAAUAGGAAACAUAACAUUUGCGUCUCUCGAAUGACGCUUCUUGUGGGUUGCAUAUCCCGAAGUACCCUUAGGAAACUGAUAAGAUGUACUUAACAUUAAUUAUCGUAUAAUUAGUUGACUUUAAGGACAUAUUACUAACAUUUGUCACAUAGUCAUUUAGCAGUUUGACUAAUAGUCUAGCUAACUACGGGAUGAAUUUGUAUGUUUUUUGUGAUAUUGUUCACCCGUUUUCGUGUUUACUCCUGAGGUGGAAGGGCGAAGUUCUCCACUGGCUUGAAGACCAUUUGUUGGUCGAUAAGUCAGCUUUCUUUGGUGUGUGAGCGUGCCACUGCUAGCGAUGUAAAUUCUAGCAGACUUCUUUUAGAGUGGAUAACUUGCGCCCCAAGUUACUAACUUCUAAAACAGAUGAUUGUGAAUUUGGGUGAGGAAUAUCUCCCAAGUAAGUUCUUUUCUUGCCUCAGACUGGUGAGGACUUUCAUAAUUUAUCUCAGUAUCAAACAGCUGUUCUGGCCAGAAAAAUUUGAUAGAAGUUGGGCUUUUUUAGGUAGAACUGCCUUUUACAAAACAAUAAAUAUGCAUAUCGACGCUAGGAAGGUUAAAAGACGGCCGGAACUCCGUUUCUGCUUGGAUGGAAGGCUCUGGCUUGGGCUGGACUGGACACACCUAGGUCGGUCCAUACUGCUUCGUGACUUCAAAUGCUAGGUUGAGCUAUAAAUCGAUACCAAAGUUCGAUUUUGGCAGAGCUUUAUGUUUACUUCACUCUUCGUGAGGCCUUUUAGUAGGCAGAACUGCAGCUUCUUCAGUUUGAAGAGGCAGAAGUGGCUGUUCUCGAAGGCUUGGUGGGCUAGGGAUUGCACUACGAGCGUUGUUCUGCUUGAGCAGGACUUUUCAUAAGUUCGCUGAGGUCUCCACGUUUGUGAAGAUUCAAAUUCUGCUUGCCUUGGCUUUUGCUGAACCAAAUUUGUAACGAGAGAGAUCUCGUUUUUAGAAGACUUAUUUUCUAAGUCUGAACUUUGGAAUUCUGAUCUAAAGCUGGUUUCUCUUGGAAUCCAAGUGAGCUUUUGGUUGUUUUCUUGUUGUUUGUUUUUUUAUUUAUUGAUGAAUUGAGUGUCCUUUCCUUCCUUGCCUACUUCUGCUUUUAUAAGAGACCCUCUUGGGGAGGUGGUUUCUUUUUAAUUUUAAUAAUGGGCGGUAAAAAGAUCUCCUAUAAUGUAAAGUAAAAGGGAUUUUUAUCAAUCAUGGCAGAUAGGCUCUCAGUAGUCACCUCCUAAAGUAGUCCCUUCCCUGGUUUCCUGGGUGACAGAUUUUUAUUUCAACCAAUGCCACCAUCUGUGUGGGCUAAAUUUUAUGGCGGUUGGUUUUCUUUUUGUAUUUUCUGAACAACUCUCUGUUUCCCGUUCUAACUUUAGAAAGUGUGAUCCGUGAAUUCCUCGGAAGAUGGUGUAUUGCUCUGGAGCAAAAUCUCCGAACACAUAUGGGUUUUGGUCUUCUGUUGGCAGUGCUUCAGAGAUGUCCCUCUCAUAUUUUAUUUUAGUUGGAAUUGCUGACUUUUCAAAACUGAGGUAGUCACGUGGGUAUGUUUUUAAUCCCUUGGGUUUGAACCCAACAAAAAUUACGGGCUGAUCCUUGAAGCCCAAAUGACAGUUUGGUCUUUCUUGGGCUGAGGGCUUUGUUUUCGACAUCCUGGCGUGAAGCCCAAUCUGUCUGGAUCCUAAUUUUGUUAUCCUCAAGUUUUUUGGGCUGGGCAGGUAAUUUUACCAUGGGCUUGUCUUUUGAACUUUGGCGUGCUAGAUUUAGGCCCAAACAGAUAUAAAUUUUUUUUUUUUUGGCAAGAUUUUAAAGCUCGGGUACUAACUUGAAAUGACCUCUAAAGUUUGAGUAGUUUUAUGUAGUUAACCCUUUAAUUUAUUUAGCCAAAUUAUGGACACACUAAAGACUAUUAUCUGAAUUUUUUAGAUUUUUAGAAUAUUAACCACUCGAGUGACAAUAUUCUAAAUCUUGAGAAAGAAAAAUUGGCCAAAAGUCCUUAAUUGAGAAAUUAUAGAAUACUACAGUAAUAUGACCACGUGGUAAAUCUUGUACACAUGUUAUAAUAUGGUUGAACGAAAGGGUUUAUUUUCCCCUUUUUAAGGAAUAGUAUCAAUAAAUAUCGACGUAUAUUAUAACAUGUGCACAAUAUGUACCACAUGACAGUAUUAAACACUCUCCUUAAUGUGUUAGAAAAGGUUACUUUUCCAAAUUUCUCUUGGAUAUUUGUGUUUAUUGACUUAUUAAGCAAUUAAGUUGCUUUCACGCUACUAUAUUUUGUAUUACAUAUUGGUGGAUUCUAUUAUGUAGUCAAAGGUUCAACAUUUGACCCUCGACCCAAAAAAAAAAUUAAAACCUUCUUUUAAAAAACUGCCAAAGCAAAGGAGGAAAAUCCAGUAGAGGAGAAAAAGUACCACAACACGAAACAACAAAAACAAAAACCUACUCCCCCCACCCGCCCUCUAUCUGACUCAAGUACAUCCAAAAGCCAAACUAGUGCUCAAUCCUCCGAUAUGAACCAGGUGUGCUCCUUAAGACCAAAUUGAGCCAAAGAAUGAGCCACCCUAUUUCCUUGGCUAGGUUGAUAGUGCACCUCUACAACACUCAAUCGUUCCAUCAAAAGCCGAACAUCUUAAACAAAGUUACCAAUAUUAGUCCAUAAUACCUCAAUGUCAUUUAAGUAACUAAUAGCUUCCUGCGAAUCAAUAAUAAGAUUGUGAAAACUUUUCGCAUAAAGCAAUAGUAGGCCCUCCCACAACGCUGUUAAUUCAAUUUCCAAAAUGCCCAAACUCACCGGACCCCAAAAUUUUCGACUUGCCUUACAGCACCAAAUUGCAUGUACCGCAUCUCCACCCCUCUUCCCACAAUGUAAGCACAAGAAGGAAGGAAGCACCUUUCACUGGACCAACUGCACACCAGUAGGUAAAAUAUCAGAAUCAUCUCUCCAAAGGAACAACUUAAUCUUGUUUGGGAUCUCCAAUUGCCACAAUUUUUUCCAAGAAACCUUGUGCUCUUAAUUUUCAGUUCCAUCACAUUGUUGAAUUAAUUUUCAGAUGAAACCAAUGGCUGAUAAUAUCAAUUUUCUUCCCAAAGAGUUUGGAGACAUAUUGUAGCCAACUAACCUUAAAUUUUAUACACACAAUACAAAUGACCUAAUCCAAUUCCAAACUUUGGUUGCUCUAAUCUAAUCAGCAUCCAAAGCAAAACUAAUCUUGAUUAAUUUACAACAUAAUCAUCAUUAUCUUGUAGCAGCCACAGCCUGACAUAAUUAAAAUACUGGGUUUGGUUUCAAAGAAAGGGUUUGUUUAUUCAGCCAUGUCUGCCUCACCACCAAUACAUGAGAUAUUUUCAAAUUCAUUAAUUAAUUAAUUAAUUAUUUCAACAAUGUCAAUGGAAAUCAUUAAUUAAUCAACCACAUGAUUUCUAAUUUUAUCAUGCCGUCACUAGUUCAUCGUUAUCGUGCCGUCACAAAUAAGAAAUUUGAUUGAUCUCAUGGGACGGCGACUGGUCCCACCUUUCCCCAUCAUUCUGUCAAUCACUCAUCGAUCACCAACAAUAAAUGUCGAAAGUGUUCGUUUUCUUUUUUCUUGGUUGAAUUUUUGUAAAUCUUUUUUAGAACUAAAUGAGUUCGAAUGCUUUUUUUCUUCACAUGAAAAUGCGCGAAACCAAACUGUGCAGGUGAUUGAUUGGAUGAGCGGCAUGCAGCUGCUGGAAUUUCCCUUUGUAAUCAUUGUGCGUGCAGGAAACUUCAAACAUUAGGCGAAUUCUAAUAAGCCCAUCAUUCUUUUGAAAUUUUUUUAUAGUAGAUCUAGUAUUUAUUUGAGUGUAUGUAAUACUUUUUGUGGUGUAUAUAGAGGCCCUUCUUACUUGGUUGAUGGUUUUUUUAUAUUUAAUUAAAGAAGGUCAUGAUUUUAAAUCUCAUAGACGACAGUUUUUGAAUAAAGAAAACGAAUAGUUCAUUUCUAAAAAAUGAAAUGUUUUGUUUUUUUUUUCGCCAAUAGUUCAUUCGUAAUGAAAUUUAAGAGAAUUAAUGAAUCCAAAAAUGGUGAGAUAAGUGACAACUACUUAGAUGGAAUUUAUAAUUUCAAAAUUCCAAGUAUUUUUUUCGGGUUACUUUAUGUUUUCACAAAAAGUUCAAAAGUUUUGGAAAUUCUAUGUUUCGAAUUGUUUCACAAAACCCCUUCGAUUAAUUUUCUGCCUACAAAUUAUUGAUGUCAUAAAACAAAAUUUUCUCAAAAUAAGUUAACCUCUAAGAUGUUCUACCUUAUCACAACUUGCCCUAAUACGAUAUGAGGAAAUAUUGUUCCCCGUUAAUGAGGAAAUGUUACUUGGUGCCGUGCUUGUUGAUGAGCAUUUAAUAAUUAAAUUAAUUUUGAUUCAAAUUCUUGAAAUGAUAAAGAUUUCAUAGAAAAUUAUCUUUAUUCUCAUUCUCGUUUCAGAUAAUUAGUAAAUAUUUUAGUGAGUAUUCCUCAUUCCAAUCCUUUCACAUUUUGAUUCUGUUCUCUAUUGGUCGUACAAAACAUGGCAUAAAUGAGAAAUUAUACUUAGUAGAAGUACAAGUUUAUUUAAUCCGAAAAGGUUCCCUCAAGUUAUUAAGGCCUAAUGUUAACAUAGUUUACAUAAAUAUUUCUGAGGAACUGUCAUUGUCAUUGAUCUUCAACCUAGAAGUUCAAUGCACAUGCAUGAUACUGUUAACAGAAAUGCUUAAACAAAUUUCUGAACCAGAUUCUGAAUAGCAAGAAAUUCAUCCAUCAAAACAAAAAGAAAAAGAAAAAUCAUGAGUAAGCAAUAGAAACUGAAGGCUCACAAAUGAUAAUGCAUAGUGUUCCAUUAAAUACAGCUACAAUCAAUAAAAGCAUACAUAAUAACACAAUAGAUGAUCAAGUCCAAAAUGUACAAGUCCUACAAUCGGCAUUUCCAUCCCGGGAGCUGAAAAACGAGAGCUCGUGAUGGUCGGAGCAUUUGAGAAGGAGAUCACAAAACCGUCUCCCUCUCGGGUGGUCCAGCCUACCUACACAUAUGCUAUAUACCCUACAGACAUUAUAAUACUACCCACUAGCAACACAAAGCAUGAAACAGAUUGCCACUGCUGAAAGGCCUGAAAAAACAAGCAGCCUUUUGCAUAGCAGAUUGGCCUGGAGAGAGAGUGUGAAGGAAUAAAUGCAGGAAUUUAAAGGAACUGAAAGUCAGAACCAAAGUGAAUUUGAAGCUUCAAAGAUCCCUUGUAAGAAAAAGUCACAAGGCUUCUAGGAUCAUUGGCUGUGUUUAGAAAAUCUGCAACCAGCUGUGAUGAGAAAUUAGAAGAGGGACUGAGGACUAAACUGAUAAAGUAAGAAGUAAAGGAAGAAAGACUAUGUGAGUGGAGGAGUUUGAAAUGCAAUUUGGUAGGUGUUUGGAAGAUUUGUCAAGGGAAUUUUGCCUAAAACUACUUCUACAACCUAGAGGUGUGAGUGAGAACUGGGGACAGCCUAAAGACCAUAAUUCCCUUACCACUUUGCAGAGCUCAAUCUUUAGAAAGAAAAGAAUAAUUAACUUUUCAAUCUUGGUCCUUCCAAAAGAAGUUCUUCAAGGGAUAUGAAGAGGAAGAGGAGGAGGCCGAACCCGAGUGGUCUUGCUGCCUUUCAAGUUCAGGACAAAUGUUAUUAAAGUUCUGCUGAUUUGGAUUGGUAAAAGGGAGAUGUGAUUGCAGCAAAAGAUUGUUGUUGGUGUCCAAAUCAUCCCACACAGGACUUCCUGGACCCCAACCUGCUGGAAUUGCAUUCAUCCAAGCCUCUGCCAUAUCCCCCCAAACCAAUUCCUCCGGCUGUGAAUUACCUCCUCCUGCAGCAUUCAUAUUCGCCUGAAAUUCAUCACUCGUUUUAGCUUCACUUGACCCCAAUCCCGAAUCGUCAUCGGUAUUGUCUUCUUCGGUAUGUGCCUGUGGUGGCGGUGGUGGUGGCAUUGCCUCCGUAUUUGAAGCUUUAGGGUUUUUCUGAACUUUACGAGAUUGCUUACGGUUCCUGGUUGUGGUAGGCAUUGAACUUUCGUGAGCUGUUGGAGAAGUAGCUGUUGAGCUUGGAGCUGUGGAAACUGAUGUGUUGUCUUUAUUGAGGAACAGCUCAGGGAAAUUAAGCCUAGCAUUCUCUCCCCUCAACUUGAAGGCCUCGCGGUCAUAAGCCAUGGCAGCAUCUUCAGCUGUGUCAAAGGUGCCGAGCCAGAGGCGAGUCCUGUUUCGAGGGAGACGAAUUUCAGCUACCCAUUUCCCCCAAUGCCGUUGCCUCACUCCCCUGUAAAGCUUGGUAGUAUUAUAAGGCAUUGCCGGCGGUCGAAACAAUGGUCUUCCAUCAGGCCCCAACCUGUUCAUCAUCAUAACUCUCCCUCUUGGACUUAAAUUCAAAGCAUCACUCCAAUACUGGAGAAUUUGAUGCUGCUGCUGUUGUUGCCAAGUUGUUGAGUCUCCGAGAAAGGGCGGGGGAUAACUCAUGCCAUGUUGCUGCUGCUGCUGCUGCUGCUGAGAAGCAAAAGAGAUCAUUUGCUGCUGAUUUUGUUGUUGUUGCUGUUGUUGUGAAAAUGGUGAGGGGUAUAUAGGCACAGCUGUGGUAUUGAAUUGGUUGGGAAAUUGAACAGGCUGCUGAGAGCCAUCAAAAGCAAAAGGAAAAACUAUUCUUGAAGAUGAUGAAGAUGGACAAGGAGUGGUUGAUGAAGUUGCUUGAUGAGCUGAAGAAGCAGAGGAUUGAAUUGGGUCUUGACGUUCAGGGCUCUUGAUUUUCUUGAGAGGCCUCUUUGACAUCAUGGAAGCUUCAUUAAAACCCAGCUUCCAUGGCUGGCUCUCGAAGCUAAAACCAAGGUCCUUGUCUUCGUUAAUCUCCCAAUCCAGGCUUGUUUCCAUCUCGCUUUCCUCCACACCCUUCUUGGAUUUACCGCUUUUUUUAGCCGCAGCCAUACUUGCUGAUUUUACCUUCUCGCUUUCUUUCUGAAUCCAAGGCUCUCAAAUACAAUCCCAGAAGCCAAAAAGAGAUUGAGAUUCAAGAGAAUUUCAGAUGGGUCACCGAAGUAAAUACGCCAAGAAAAAACAAAACAAAACAAAAAAAUCGAUUCCGAUAAAAGAGAAGAAAAUUCAAAUAACCCAGAAACAAAUUUUGGCAAAGGAAUAAAAAAAAUACAAAGACUGAAUUUUGGAAUCUGGGUUUCAAUUUGAAAAGCUAAUCCGAUCGAACGAAAAACAGAAUCGGAUACCAAAAGCGCAAAAUCUUGAGGAACCCAUCUAAAUUCUCUGAAUGUAGAGCUUGAAUUCAACAAAGAGAACGAGCAGGGCACGGCAAGUAACGAAUAUGCGAGAGGUUGUUGAUGAAGUGCAGAGUGUUUGGGUGUGAAGACGAAAUGUUUUGGUGCGGCUAGAGAAAAGCAGAGGAGCGAGAACAGAGGAGUAUCUAAAAAUCUAUGUGAGGAGAGACGGAGCAGGAGAGGGGGGGUUUAUAAGAGAGGAGAUAAAGAUUUUGAAUAAAGACUUUUUGAGGAAAGAGAGAGAGAGAAUAUGUAGAAGUCUCGGGAUUGGUUGGCUCUGCUUGGGCCCCACACGGCUUGCUUUCCUUACUUACACUCCAAUUUCUCUCUGUACCCACUAACCACCCCCCAUCUGUCCUUCCGUCUGUUUUUAUCUGUAAUUAAAGCAAGGGGAUUUCACAAUUUGUUUUAAAAAAUAAAUAGAGUAAAGGAUUUACUAGUGUAGUGGUUUGAAAUAUUUAUUUUCUUAGGUAAAGUUCUGGAUUCGAAUCCUAGCAUUCAUAUUGUGUGUGUGAGUUUAAUAUGUUAUCGCCCCUUUCAAUAGAAAAGAUCCUAAAAAAAGAAAGAAAAAGGAAAUAUGUUGCUUGUAUCCGUACAGUUUAUGUGGCAUGUAUGUGUGUAUUGAGUGUUGCAAGUAUUUGACUGCUACAAAAUUAGCUUCACAAAACAUGUGUUGAAUUGAAUAGUAAGAUGAGUGAAAUCUUGUAGAAAGUACCAAAUGGCUUGAAUAAGUUGUUUGAAUAUUUAUCAUUUGCCUCAUUGGUCCCAUCCCGGUAGGAGGGGGGUGGGAUAAGAAGUCUAGAAUGUUGGACCCUCGUUCGAAUUAUGAGUUUUGAACAUUGCAUUCUAAACAUAUUCCCAACUCCGUGUCAACUCUUUUCUCAUUUUCUAAUUUGGGACUUGAGUUGUUCCUGGAAGAUUUAGGUUAGUUCUAGUUGCAUUUCUACAGAAAAAAGGCCUAUUUUAUUUUGCUUUUUAUUUCUUUUAAAUUUCCUUGCAGUAGUAGCACACGUGUUAUCAUUUCGUAGAAAUCGUAAUUUUGUCGAAUCAAAACUAACGAAAUGAAAACUGCAUUUCUCCAGAAUAAAAACUGUAUGUCACUAGACCAAAUGAUCAUUAUGCAUCUUACUUUCAUAAAAUCUCAUAAUUCGAUCACAACUCACGAAAUUCAUAAAAUCAACUUGAUUUCAUGUGGAUUCAUUUUAUGUAGUUGGAUUAAAUUGGAUACAAAUUUUGAAAUUUUUUAUUACAACUAUGUUUGGUAAUUUUAGGUCCGAUAAAAACAAAAUAAUUUUUCACAAAUAUGCCCAUUCUAGCAUGCCAUUUUAUUAUUAAAGUAAAUCAUUCAAGUUUGAUACUUGAGAAAAAUUUGUAACACAUAGGAACCAAUUAAAAAUUGAUAAGUGACAAAUUGCGGGCAUAUUUUAUUUUUAUUUUUUUCCCAAAUAGGCUCUUUAAAUUAUUUUAUUAAUAUUAUAAAAUAUUGUGUUAGAAUGAUCUAUUUAUGAAAAUCACCCCCUUAUAUUACAGUAUUCUUUACUUUUUCAAACUGCUGAUGGAGUAUGAUAUAAUAAAACAAGAUAUUGGGCUGGCAAAUGGUCAACCAAGUAGAAAUGAUCAUUAAACCCUAAACCCUAAACCCUAAAGAAAAGUUACGUCACCAAUUUUCCAACCCCAGCCGGCCAGCCCAAUCAUUUACCAAAAAUGAAGUUACUAAUAAUAAAGUUUCCAAGUAAAUAAUUUCAUAAUUGCUAUAAAAUAAAUAAAUAAUUUAAUAAUUAGGAUUUAAACAUGCUUUUAGAAAAAGAAAAAGAAAAGUUGAAGUCACUUCAAAGAGAUUUUAGACAUGCUUUUUUCUUUAAUUACAGAACAAAAAAUAUCUUCAGAGUUGUGAUACGUGGUCAAAUCUUUAUUAUGGUGAUUGGAUUGUGUGGUCAAAUUUUUAUUUAUGAUCACCUACCUCUCACAUACAGAGAGACGUUUAAGUAAUUUUAAGCGGUUUACUAAAAGAGUCCUAGUGAAAUUAAGGUUUAAUUUGAGAUUACUUUGAAAAUAAUUAGUUGUAAAGUAAAAUAAUUUUAUGUUUGAUAAACAAUAUUUUUAUAGUUAUUUUUAAACUCUUCCUAUAUCUAUAAUGUUAGAGUUUUUUUAAACAAAAUUUUUUAUAUAUUGUUCGUAUGACAUAUAUGCUAAUUCACGUGACAAAUACAACGUGCAAGUAAGCGAAAAAUGCGUCAAUCGGGCUGCUUAUCUGUAUACAUACUUUAAACCAACUGUUUUAGCAUGUCAAAGAAAAAUUUUAAAAAAAAAAAAAAAUUGCAUAAGCUCAGAGUGUUAAGCUAAUUAAUAAGCAUAAGCAUAUAAUGUAUGGGGUUUGUUUGUGUGAAACAAGUGAUCCACGACUCCUCCACGUUAGAGGGCUCUCACUUUCGGUGAGAGCCAUUAGAAAAUAAAAUUGUCAUAUCUCCUUUGUCGUUCCGUAAGUCAACAAACAUAAAACGGUUUCCUCAAAGGGGCGGUGAGAAUCGGCACGUGUCGGUGGUCCACUCUUCAUCUUUAAUCAUUUUCUUCUUUUUUUCUUUUUUUUUUUCUAUGAAUAUUUGUCCAAGUCCACUAAACAAAGUUGCUUGUCUUUUUACAAAUUAUCAUGCCCCAUCAUAGAUAUUUUGGGGAGUCUACAUAAAUUCAUAUUGAUGGUUGAAUGCUACGCGUAAAUUCUUUUAGUUUGAGAUUGUGAAUUUGCUCUGAUGCUAUUCUAGACAUUCAUUAAAUUAUAAAAUAAAAAAAUGAAUUACAGUAAAGUAAAUUGUUUAAAAGAAAAAAAGAAAGUAGCAAUAACAAUAACCUUCGACUUCCCCUAACCGUUUGUGAUACAUCCAUUGUUUAAGCAUGUAGGAUCUAACAUGUUUCUGAAUGUGUUAGAAAAUUCACAUAUGUGUUUUUGGAUGACCAUAUAGAGGUGUUGGCGAUGGUGAUUGAGAGCUUCUACUUUGGUUCUUUUAUAGGAAAUUCCUAAACUGCCUUAGAAAGUGAGUCUUUUAGUCGGUCUAGAGAUUUUCGAGGCCCAGGGCAUCAUUGAAAAAUAAUCAUGUGCACAAAUAACUCGACAAAAACAUGUUGUAUUAUUGUAUAUAUAAAUUUUAUAUUAGAAAAAAGUUGAAAAUUUUACAACCAUAAAAAUGAAAAAUCAGGCCUCAAAGAAAAUACCAUUUUAUUUUUGUACUAUCUAACUUUUUAUAUAUAAUCAGUCACAAGAGACAAUACAAAAAAAUAAAGUAGUAAAUAGAAGAAUCCAAAAUGCUGGUUUCCAAACUCCUUUUUAAUGUAAUCCAAAACUCAAUAAGACGUUCCACCAUUAAAGGAGUUUUUGAACAACUUUUACCAGUCGAAAAAUUUGACCAUCUUUAAGAUGAUUGGCCAGAAAAGAACAAAAACAAUCCCCCUUAUUAGACAUCUAUGUGCAUAAAUAAAAGAAGCUUCCUAAGUUGGGAAUGAAACGUGGCUUUGAUUCGUGCAUUUUGGUUGCUUUCACAAUCUAUCUAUAGAAAUGGAAGAUCUCUUCCUCCUCCCAAAAACCAUUUGGUUUAUGGACAAAGAAAGACUGGUCUUUUUCUUUGACCGCCUCUCCAACAGUAGACACAAUUCACCAACUUUUUCUGACUCUCUUGCCAAUGAAAUAAAGAGGGAUGCAUUCGCAUGUCAUGGCAUUUCUAUAGUUCUUGGCAAAAACAUGCAUAUAUAAAGUGUGUCACGCUCACAAAUGAUGGGUUCUUUCCUAUUAUGUGAUUCAAUAUGUACCAAUAUUAUUAUUCUUUGUAUGACUGACAGAGAAACAAACCUAAAUAUGCCAUUUUUCAAUACGAUUACAGAACUAUAUGCAUGCAUUAUUUGACUGAUAUUGAUGAGCCAAAUACAUCAAUUAUAGUGAGUGACGUGAAUCAUGUGUGGUCUAAUGAAACAUUGUAUCUGAAUAAAUUGUUUGGUUUUUGUACCAUAUUCACAUUAAAGCAUCCAAUUCAAGAUAAGGGUGUAUGGACUUCAAGCAUAAAAAGAGACCCUAUAUAUAUAGAGGAGGCAAUACAUUAAAAUUGUUGUACUAUAUAAAUUGAAAGGCUCUCAUUUUAAGCAAAGCUAGUUCGAAACUCCUACGGAAGCAUGCACCGUCAAAGUUGUAUAACAAUUAUUUCAUACAAUGACAGCAAAAUACAAAUUUAAAGAGAAAGAAAAGAAAAAAGGAUCAUGACAGAACUAGCACACAGAUCGAUCAUGCAAGAACUAACUUCCCACUAAUUAUUCUCUCUUUCUUUGUUUUUUGUUUUUGUUUUUUUUGUUGUUGUUGUUAUCGUCGUCAUCAAAGUUAGGAAGGAGAGGAUGCUGUUCAAGGGCAGAACAAUACUAAGGGUGUUGUCUUUGUCAUUUUACUUUUAUUUAUUUUUAUAUUACUUUAUUUACUUAAGUUUACAAUGUAAAUAGGGAAGCACCUCCCAUUUGGAUUCAAAUAAAAAUACUAGAAAAUCAAAUUCCCAUCAAAUCAAAAUAUGAAAAAUCGGUUUUAGUGCAAAAUCAAGUUUUCUUAUUUGAUGUGUAAGGAAUAAAAGCCGCCAAAAAUUAUCUUGAGAAAAUAAUUAUUCUGAAAAUCCAUUUUUCAAUAUUUUUACAUAAAACAACUUUUCAUGUAUGAUAUGAAUGCAUGAAUGAACCUAAGGUCAAUCUAGCUAAAAAGCCUUAGAUGUUCAAUCCACUAUGGUGUUAAACCCUAUUUGGUUUAUGUUAAAACUUAUUUAAAAUUAGUCUAUAGAGCUAUGAACUAGCUUGGUUUAUAUGAUUUAAUGUUUACUUUUAUUUCUAGAAAGACUAUAGAAAUUGUAAGUACCAAAUAAAAUAAUCAUUAAAUUUUAAGCUAAUAACUUUAGUUAGCCCAUCCGUUGAAAAAUUCCUGGUUCCGCCCUUGGUGCUGUUCUCACACACACACUAUCAGGUACAACAAAGGUUCGAACUUGAGACCAUUAAUCUGCACAUCAAGUCUUUUCCACUGAUUUACAAGUUAAGAUCCUUUCUCCAAUUGGGUACCCCAUUGACAAAUCCUACUACUUAUCCAUUGAUUGUCAGCCGGAAACUCUUGGGUAUUUGAUUGAUGCAUAUAAUUAGUCUGAAAAUUCACGUAACCCACAUAUAUAUAAAUAUAACAUAUAUUCUAUCAACUGAUAUAGUCAACCAAUAUAAUACUGAUGAGUGGUGGUGGUGAGUGCAUGAAAUGGUUCUCAUAUAUAUAAUGGAGUCCUCGUGGUGGAAAAAACCAUUGUAUUAAUUAGUGAAAUUCUAAAACAAAGACCCACCUAAUAGCCUAAUAUAAUAAACAAUCAUUCUAAUUAAUUACUUCCUUAAUUAUUAAUCAUAUCUUUUGUUUUUUGAUCAAGUUAUUAAUCAUAUCUUAGCCUCCAAACCUUUGUGCAAGCAAUGUCUAGCACAAUGUAGCUUGGACACGUGUCAUGCAUCCGAUAGUACAUACCUCAUUAUUUACACCACUCUUAUUAGUUAAAAAUGGCCAUUGACAGAGAAUGCAGGAAGGUGUGUUCUUCUGCCAUUGGCCAGUUAGAAAACAUAGGUUUCCUCGAAACGAAUUGAAGUGAAACCCUAGCUAAUUGGCCAAUUCGAGGAAGUGUUUUGCACUGACCAAAACGACAUCAUAAUCAUCCUCGGUGGCCCAUUUGGGUAAUGGCCUAAAUAUUUCAAUAAUAAAGUGUAUAUAUAUAUGCAUUUCAAAUUCUCGAUGCUCAGUUGAGGAUUGGUUAUGGCUGCAACAGGAUGGUGGUCUCCACACGCUUCCCUUUCAAGUUUCAGGGGUUUUGAGUGCAUGGCAAACACAAUCGUGAGUGUUUUCUGUACAGUUUCCUCCACCUUUGUGUGCAGGGGGUGGUUGACAAAGAUAAACUUCAGUAUAUAAUAUUGGAAGGCUGGAAAGUAAGAACAAACAGAUAAAUAUAACUACAAGAUAUUUAUUAUAUAACGACGACAAAAUAAAUACUUAAUUGAUCUCAUGUGUGGUGGGCAGUCUCCAAGAUGCAACAACCAUCUUGUACGAUUAGUUCAGAUGCAUCCCAUUGGUUUCUAUGAGAUGGAUAUUCUUAGGAAGAGUUCAAAAUGAUUCUAAUAUACCUUUAUUUAUAGGUUACAUUCUAACUUAUUUUAAAACUUCAAGGACCGGUAGUGUAAGGGUCUUAGAGCAUCUUCAUCUAUAAGGGUUAAAUCUAGGGUAAGGACAAGUAAGGGCUGCCAUUAUUCACAUGAGUAGUGUCAGCAUUGUCAUUUGUGGUUCCACCCAUGAGGGUUAAGUCUAGAAUAAGUCUAAGGCAAAUACUAUUCAUUGUACUUUAUUUCCUAUUUUUUUAUACUUUAAACCAUUAAUUUUGAUAAUCUUUUGUAAUUAAAUUUUCGGAUAAGAUUUUUGGUUAUCACGCGUCCAUUAUUUUUCAGAAAAAAUUUUCGGAUGAGAAUCUCGGUUGCCACGUGUCUUAUUACAGAUAAAAAUUUCGGAUAUUUAUUUAAAAAAAUUAUAAUCUCAGAUUUCAGAUAAGAUUUUCAACCUCUAAAAUUGUGCCAUGUGUCCCAUAUCAGAUAAGAUUUUCAUAAUUAAUUAACAAAUUAUAUUCUUAGAUUUCAGAUAAAAUUUUCACCAUUUAAAAUUGUGCCACGUGUCAUCUCUAUCUUCAGAACCAUAAUUUUCAGGAGACAUAUGGCAUUUCCUGAACGUUCAAACAUAUGGCACCGAACCAUGAUUCUCAGAUUUCAUAAUUAAUGCACGAAAUUUUUUUUGCCUUGCCCCGUGGCACCGAACCACAUUUGUGCUUGUAUGAUCUAUUAAAAAUAAAUAAUUGGAAGUGCAAGAAAAAAAAGAGUGAGUGGAGAAUUGGUGUAGAAAGUAAAUAAUGUGAGUGGAGAGUAAAAAAUAUUGGAUGGAGAAGAAAUUGUAUGAAGAUUUGGUGUGGAAAGUAAAUAAAAUGGUUAGGUAUUUAUAGGGAAAAAAUUCAGAAUUUUUUGGUAUUUUUUUAAAAAAAAUUCAGAAUUUUGUCGAUUUUUUUUAGCCAAAAAAACAAGGACCGUCGGAUUUCUGGAAAAAACAAUCGGAGCGUCUCUAUUGCGACACGUGGCACAUGCCCGUUAGAUUCUAUCAGGACUGACGUCAGCGCGCGGAAGUCAAAUUUUUUUUACCGUUGGCUCAUGGGCUCCAGCUGAAGCCCAGUCGAAACUUGCCCUUGGGCCUGCCUGGGCUAGUGGGACCCAGUUCUUGCCCGGGCUUCUUCUCUCGCGCUGGAGGGCGCUUGGGCUCACCAAGGGGGCCUUUCCCCCAGUUUGGGUUGCGCGCUAGAGAUGCUCUUAUAGUUCAAGUGGUUUAAAGUAUUAAUUUAUGUAAUCAAAACUCUAGGUUUGAUUCUCCCCUCCUCCAAUAUCGCCUAUCACAAAAAACUUCUAGGACUAAUUGGACUAAAGCAAAGAAUCCAAUUAAUAGUUGGCUGGAGGACUAAUAUAAAGAAUCUAAAUAAAUGAACAAUUCAAUAGUCCAAUAAAAAAGAACUUAAAAACUAAAUAUUUUUAAUUAAAAAGAAAAAUUUGCAUAAAUACCACAUGAACUAAUAAGGUUGUGAGCAGUUAUCACCCAAUGGAACAUUUUCGACAGUUUGCUACUCAAAACUUCACUAUUUCAUCUAAUUUUUUGUAAAAAAGUUUCAGUUAUACAUACAAACAUGUACAUGUAGUCAAAUUCAAAUUAGUCAUAAUUUUAAUUAAAUCGAAAUAGCUAACUGAACAAAAACCGAAAAUAAUUCAGAAGUAUAGAAAUUGAACCAAUUGAAAUAUACUAUAAAUCACCCAACUGAAAAAUAGCAAACCAAACAAUUAUGGAAAUUCUUUGAUUAUUUGGUUUUGGUAAGCCCUAUCACAGAUUAUAACCCGCCAAAUGACAAGCUUAAAAAUGACAAAGUCCAGGAAUUGUAAUCAAGCGGCGGAUCAUCUUGCGUCGCUGGCACUAUCGAGGAGGAGUACGGAAGUUUGGGUUGAAUGGCCCCCCACCUCUCUUGUGCACAUCCUUUGCAAGGAUGGACUCCCUUGUCCUCACCAUGCCUAAUUUGACUGUUGAUUGGUCUUGAAUCGUUUUAACAUCCUUAUGGUUGGAUUGUUUUUCUGGCGCUUUUCUUCUUGAUCAGUCUAAAUGUGUUGUUUGUUUUCUGGACUCUUUACGCAUUGUCUGUUUCCUUGCAUGGACAGACUUGUUUCCCUCUGUAUGGGCGUGGGCCUUUUGUUUAGGGAUUUCUUGUGCUUUGAAUAUAAGAUAUUUUCGACCAAAAAAAAAAAAAAAAAGACAGAGUCCCCCUAAUCAACAUACCGAAGAAAUUUAGUACCCCAUUUCACAAGUAAUAGCUUUUAAUAUAUGAUAAAAGCAGCCAUCUUCACUUCUAUAAAUCUAUCUUGACCUCGUCUGCUUGACAAUGUAUACAUGGUAUGCGCCCGAUCAAAAGGGGAUGACAACAGUAGAAAAAAAAAAAGAGAAGGGGAACAAAAAUAGUUCAACAAAGAAAUAAGAUUUAAAAAGAGAAUGUAAUGCCAACGGGAUCUAAUAUAAUGAAAAAUAGCCUUGAUUUGCAGAAUAAAGGUCUCACAUUCAAAUCCCCACAGUAUCAUAGUUGUGUGUGUGUGUGAGAAAUCUCACUCCCAUAUAGUUUAAACUAUCGCUUGUACUAAAAAAACAAAAAAAAAACAAAGAGAAUGCAAUGAAUGAUAGGCCUGCGAACAUGGAGGCCAGGCAAUGUGUAUACUGUUGAAUGUAGACCCAUCACGACAUGUAGGCCCAAAUGUAAGGGCCUUCUACCAUUUUUCUAUUGGACCUAGUAUUUCUACAAGAAUUGAUUUGUCUUGAGCCCAUUACCAAUACAAGAGGCCCACAAUCUGGCUUUCCACCUUUCACUAACUAUAGAUUGAUUAGAAAAAACAUGUCUUUCUGCCGCAGAUGCAGCAACAUCCACACAACUUCCACUUGUUGCUUUACUUAUCUAUAAUGCAUGAUUUAUGGCGUAAAUGCAUUUAAUCCACACUUUUGAAUUUUGUCCUCAUUAUCCAGCAAAAAAUUUCCCCACUCUGAAUAUUGACAGGCUUUUGUAAUUUCUUUUGGGUGUUGAAAUGCCCUUUUUUGAAUGGCAAAUGUUUGUGUAGAUGUGAGUUAAGUCAGUUGAUUAAGAUAGUAUAUUCACUUUCUUGCUCCAGAAUUCGAUCAUCCUCCCCACACAUUAGAGUAGUUUAAAAUAUCACUUUGUUGAAAAUCAAUAAAACAAUAUGACAGAGUUCUUUCCUUAGAAUGAGCCUUUUCUCAGUCAUUGGGCCAAUUUCUCUCUCUCUCUCUCUCUCUCUCUCUCUCUCUCUCUCUCACCAGGCCAUUGCUCAAUGAACUUAUGCCAGAUCACUGUGCUCUCAUAUAUUAUUUCAUAAUCGGGCAAUGUUUUCCUGGAAGUCCUGGUGUUGCAUCCAAUCCGUUAAUUGGUCAACAAACUUCUUUUUAGGAAUUGGUGAAGUAAGGUGAUUUAUGACCGUGGCAUAGACCGAAGCGAAUUGUUCCCACCCCUAUUAUUUAGUUGUUUUUCAUUCGACAAGAAAAUAUGGUGAGUGAUAAAGAAAAAAGAACAACUAAAUGUGAUAAGUAGCACCACAACUUUACCACUAGCUAUAAUCACCUACCAAGUGAAGAAACAUUCUAUCUAAUCUUUUACAUACAUAUUCGAUUUCUUGUUUGACGCUGGAAUUAACCUUACCCUAAACCGUUAUAUGUUUAAUACGAACUACCACUUCAGUAAAGGGUCUACUGUAAAAAGUGAAAAGUUACCACCUAACGAAAAGUAAAAGUGAAGAAUUACCCAUAUAGGAUUUGAAAGGAGGAACGGGGUCUAUAACAUAAAGACAACAUUCUAGGAUGAGAAGGCAUGGCAUGAAAAAGACCGCAAGGGAAAAACUGACCAAGAAAACGGUGAACCACCAUCACUCAUUCACGCUCUCCCUUGGAUUAGAUAAGAUAAUGGAGCGCCUUCCACGUGGCACGGUCAUAGUGGUGCCUAGCGAUAAGGCUAGCAUUCAAAAUGUUCCUCUGCUUCAUGUGGUCUACAUGGUGUAAUGUCAGCAUUUUUAUGAUCCAAAGGUCCAAAUUUGAUUUCAGUAAAGUAAAUGGAAUUUGGACCCUAGGAUGUGAAAUAGCUAGUCAGACCACUAUAUAUAGGAAGGGUGAACAGAAGCUGUGCAACUCAACUGAAAAGUAAAGACCUCUAGCAAAGAAGAGGGCUAAAGAGAGCACAGAGCAAUGGCUUCCUCCAUGAUUUCUUCAGCUACCGUGGCUUCGGUUUACGCUGACCGUGCCGCCCCGGCACAAGCUAGCUUGGUUGCACCAUUCACUGGCCUCAAGUCUGCCUCAGCUUUCCCCGGCGCCAAGAAGACCAAUGACAUCACCUCCAUUGCAAGCAAUGGUGGAAGAGUGCAAUGCAUGAAGGUAAGACUACUUAUCAACAUGUUGCUACAAUUAAUUUACAUUCAAAACAAUAUACCCAAAUGCAUGUUGAAGUAACUACUUCACGAGGAACCGAAAUACAUAACUUGUGAAUAUACAAAUGAAUUGUCUGAAUUACAGUCUGAUAACUUAACAUGUCGUAAAAAAAUACAAUUUUUUUCAUAAUCGUAGCAUAUUUACAUACCCACUAUUAACUAUAAUUAAAGAAAAUGUAGUUUAUUUCCAAGCUUACCAAUCCUUUCGUGUGCUUCCUGGCCGCUAAUUAGUAAUAGUUCCUCUAUUUUUUUGGCCAAGAAGGUACUAAUCGAAGUACUAGAACAUCGAUUUAUCGAAUAUUUUGAUUGAUACAGGUGUGGCCUACAGUUGGACUGAAGAAGUUCGAGACUCUCUCCUACCUUCCACCACUCUCUCCUGAGUCUUUGGCCAAGGAAGUAGACUACCUUCUCCGCAAGAACUGGGUUCCCUGCUUGGAAUUUGAGUUGGAGGUUAAUAAUUUCUUUUUAUAAACUUAUUUAUAUAUGUUAGCUUCAUGUAAUAUUUGUUUGCUGACUUAAUUUUCUUGAACAAAAUUGUGGUUUUAUAGAAGGGAUUUGUGUACCGUGAGAACCACAGGUCACCAGGGUACUAUGAUGGAAGGUACUGGACCAUGUGGAAGCUGCCCAUGUUUGGAUGCACAGACUCUUCCCAAGUGUUGAAAGAGCUCGAGGAGGCCAAGAAGGCUAACCCCAACUCUUUCAUCCGUAUCAUCGGAUUCGACAACGUUCGUCAAGUGCAGUGCAUCAGUUUCAUCGCCUACAAGCCUGCAGGCUACUAAUUUCAAGUUUCAUGAUUUUUAUUUUAUGUUGUUUGUGGCUUGUUAGCCAAGGGUCUCGGUGGUUUGUUUAAGUCUGUACUUAAUUAGGCCUUUCAAGACCUUUGUUGGUUUCUUUUCUUUCCCUUUUUCGAGACAAUUUCCUUUGUUUUCGAAGUUGGUGUUUUUCGGAUUCAUAAUGUGGUGGUGUUGAGAAUAUUCAUGAAUAAAAUGAUAUCCGUAUUUUAUUUUCAGUCCGAAUAAAGCUACAUGUAGCAUGUUUAUUAAUUACAUUACUAAUUACAUCUCUCAUCUCUUACUAAGACAUACACUCACGCACAUGUUUAGAGGUGUGGUGAACAAUGUUAUUGGUAAUAAUGUAAUAAUAGUUUUAUUGUUUUCUAAUUAGGAUUUUAAUUCAGUUUCUAAUUUCCUUUAUGAGUUUGGGAAUGUACACAGAUGAUGGUGAAUUAUACUGGGGAAAGUUGAAAUUUGUUCUGAAGAUUACUCAAGGUGAAUAAGAUCUCUUCAAUGAUUUUCUCAAAAAUACUUCUCUUAAAUGCAAUUGUUCAUGAAAACAAUUCAAGUUUGAUAGCCAGAUAAGUAACUAAAGUAAGUAUAAAAUUAAAAAUUACCAACAAAUUGCAGUAUUUGUAUGUACCCAAAAGGAAAAAACAAAAGCUUUCUCAAGUCUGUUUAAAUUGGAUAUAUUCAAACAAGAUAUACAACUUUUUAAGUUCAAUUUUACGUUUUCUAUUGAAGCAUGAGCUUAUAACUAAGCAGAACAUUAAAGUCGUUAACCACGUCAUAAGCCUUCAGGUUAUAGAUGGGUACCAAAUUACAAAAUCACAACAUAAGCUCAGUCCCAUUUUGAUGGCACAUUUUUUGAGCCAGAAUUCAGCUACUAAUUGCUAACUUAAUUUUUGCAAUAUUUCUUUAUUUUUAUUUUGAAAUUCAAUAAAACCUUCUUCAAGCACUUGCGCUUCUAUCAAUUUCGUAUCACACAUUUUUUCAAUUGACCGACUAGUUUUCUUGGACCCUAGAUAGCUACACUUAUGGACAUGCAUUUCUCCAGAUAAAGAAAAAGAUAAGCUGGGUCAUUUCAAAGUCGCCGCACUAAAAUUACAACUUUACCCUAAACCCUAUAUUCAUAUCCACACAGAAAUUUCGAAGCUGGCUUCCAACCGUGUUUUGUGUUUACACGAGCUUGAUGACGACCCUCUAGAUGAAAUUAGUGAUUUGUUAAAGAAUGAAUCAAUCUGGUGUGAAAUGACCAAAGUCAGUUGUCAUGCAAAGCCAGAAGAAGAAAAAAAAUAAUGGACAAUCAUGUUAAAAUAUGAAAAUUAUGAGAGAACUAUGAGAGAAUAUUUGUUUGUGGGAAUUUUCUGUGUAUUCUUCUCCUUGUAGGAGGUCUUAUUUAUAAUACAACGAAACCUGAAUGGACAAGUAAAUAAUAAAUUCCUAAAUCUAUUUACAGUAAAAAAUCAUGAAUUAAAGUAAAUCAAUUACAAUUAUAAUAGGAAUUCUUGGUGUGUAAGGAAAGUAAGUCAAUAUCCACAAGUCACGCCAACACUCCCCCUCACGUUGGUGCAUAGAUGUCGCUAAUGCCCAACUGAUCCAGUGAAUUGUGGAAUGUUUUACUGGAAAUCGCCUUUGUCAAAAUAUCUGUCAAUUGAUCCUCGGAUUUCACAAAAGGAAACUGAAACACUUUAGCCUCAAGCUUCUAUUUGAUGAAGUGUCGAUCCACCUCAACAUGUUUAGUACGAUCAUGCUGAAUCGGAUUCUGCGCAAUGGUUAUAGCAGCCUUGUUGUCACAAAAGAGAUUCAUUGUGGAUGUAGGUUUAUACCUAAGUUCAGUAAGCAACUUUCUUAACCAAAGAAGUUCACAAAUCCCUUUAGUCAUGCCUCUGAACUCGGCUUCUGUACUGGAUAAAGCUACUACAUUCUGUUUCUUGCUUCUCCAUGUCACCAAAUUACCUCCCACGAAUGUGAAGUAACCCGAUGUGGAUUUUCUAUAUGUUACAUUACCUGCCCAAUAUGCAUCUGAAUAACCAUCAAUAUUUAGAUGACCAUGCUUUGAGAACAUAAGUCCUUUUCCAGUUGCAGACUUCAAAUAUCUAAGUAUCCGAAGAACUGCAUUCAUGUGGUCUUCACUUGGAGAGUGCAUAAAUUGACUGACAACCCUCAUCGCAUAAGCAAUGUCUGGUCGAGUAUGUGACAAAUAGAUCAAUCUUCCCACUAACCUUUGGUAUCUUUCUUUGUUAGUUGGAACUUGAUCCGGAUAUUCUCUAAGAUGAUGAUUCUGAACAAUAGGAGUGUCUGCAGGUUUACAAUCUAGCAUUCCUGUGUCUGUCAACAAGUCCAAGACAUAUUUCCUUUGAGAGAAAAAUAUGUCUUGCUGCGAUUGAGCCACCUCAAUUCCCAAGAAAUACUUGAGUCUACCUAGAUCCUUCAUCUCAAACUCCGUAGCCAGAUAGUCUUGUAGCUGUGAUAUUUCCUGUUUAUCAUUCCCAGUAAUAAUCAUAUCAUCAACAUAGAUUAUUAAUGUUGUUACCUUCCAUUUUCAAUGUUUCAAGAACAGAGUAUGAUCUGAGUUGCACUGUUUGAAACCAUUGUUCUUCAUUGCCAUAGUGAACCGUCCAAACCAUGCACGUGAUGACUGUUUCAAUCCAUACAAUGGUUUAGUGGCUUACCACGAUUUUGCCUGAAAGGUAAUUGAUAUCCAAUAGUUUUAUCAUCUAAAUGCACAAGUCUAGAAGGAGUAGUUACCUCAAGGAUAUUCUCAGAAGAUUGGUCUGUUGGUACUGUUGAGUUAGAGGGGGGUCUUCAUCUUGUUGUUUUGUAUUGUCUGUAGGUGUGAGACUCGGAUCAGAAGUUUCUUCGCAUGGAUCAGGUGGGUUAGGCAAUUGAUCGCUAUGAAUGGGCAAUUGGUAGUUUUUCGACAGAGAGUAAUCUCAUGCUCCAGACUCGGGAUGAUCAAUCAUUUCUGUACAGAGGAGAAUUUCUUUGUUUUUCAAGUUGCUCUAAUUCUGCUCUUCACUUUGUAUCUCCCCCUGAAGCGUAGAAUUGGAUGAUGGGUCAUGGAAGAACAGCUCAUAUUCUAGAAAGGUCACAUCCAAAGUAACAUAGGUUUGUUGGGUAGGAGGGUGAUAACAGCGGUAGCCUUUCUGAUGAGUGACAUAACCCACAAAAGCACAACGAAGCGCAUAGGGAUCAAGUUUGCUACAUUGAUUUUUGUGGACAUGAAUGAAAGCCACACAUCCAAAGAUUCGGGGUGUGAGUACCAAAACAGAGGGCAGAGGUCUGUGUUACGCAAGCACUUGUAAGGGAGUUUUAAAGGUCAAUACACCAGAAGGCAUGCGGUUGAUCAGGUGAACUGCGAUGAUAAUAGCAUCAUCCCAGUGAUGGUGAGGAACAUGAGCGCCAAUCAGAAGUGCUCGAGCAGUUUCAAGAAAAUGUCGAUUCUUUCGUUCAGCAACACCAUUUUGUUACAGUGUCUGAGGACAAGUCGUCUCAUGGAUAAUUCCAUAUUGUUGAAGGUAAAUCUGAAAGUCAUGAUUGACAAAUUCUCCACCAUUGUCUGAGCGAAGAAUCUGGAUUUGAGCAUUAAACUGGGUUUUCAUCUGUUUGUGGAAGGACUGAAAACCGGAAAACACUUCGUUUUUAUUCUUCAGCAAAUAAAGUCAUGUCAUCCCUGUACAAUCAUCGAUGAAUGUGACAAACCAUCGAACACCAGAAGGAGCAGUGAUAGGCGAAGGUCCCCAGACAUCAGAGUGAAUUAACGUAAAUUGAGUAGUACACUUGUUCGUACUCAAUGAGUAAGGCACACGGUGACUCUUGGCCAAAAUACAAGUAUCACAUAUGAAGUCAGAGUCCUUGAAACCUGAGAAUAAAUCUGGUAUAAGAUGCUUCAUAUAACUAAAAGACGGAUGUCCUAAUCGACGGUGCCACAACUAGAUUUACUUUUGUUUGCUAUCAAAGGGAUGUGUCACACUGUUAGCCAUGCCGGGACUGAAGUCAUUGACAUAAUAUAGCCCCCCUUUCUUAGUACCACGACCAAGAAUCUCUUUAGUGUGAAUAUCCUGAAGCAAACAAAAACUCGGGUAAAUGAGUACACAACAAUUCAAUUGUUCAGUAAGCUGACUAACUGACAACAAUUUAGUGGAUAAAGAUGGAACAAGUAAAGUAUUAGACAGUGUGAGAGAGGAUGAGAGUGCAACAGUGCCAGCCCCUGUCACAGGAUAAGUAACACCAUUGGCAUUUGCAAUACAGGUUCGUCGAGGUUGUGUAGUAUUCAGAAAAUCAUCAGGAUCAAACGUCAUAUGAUCAGUUGCACCGGAAUCAAUUAUCCAGCUCCUAGAAUCAAUCUUAUCGGAAGUAUGGAAUCCAUAACCAGUACCAUUACUGGUCAUAUUGCAUUGUACUUGAUCUGUAAGAUAGCCCACCAAUCGGGAUAGCCAUGCAAUUUAAAACAAGUCUCACAAGUGUGUCUCGGAUCACCACAAUAUGUGUAAUCUGGUCCAUGUGUCGGGGUCGUUAGUCGAGAAGUCAUAAUCUGUGCAGGGAAGAUACAUAGGAUACAGGUUGAAUAGGAAUUUGGAUCGGAAUCUGAGCCUGAGUCGGGGCAGGAGUCGGAGUCGAAAUCGAGAUUGGGGUCUAAAUCAGAGACAAAUUCAGGGUGGGGGUCAUCAUCUGAGUGGGGGUCGGGGUCGUCUUCGUAGUCGGGGUCGGGGUCAGGGUCGUCAAAAGAUGAUCCUGAUUCUGGAUCGGGUUCAGGGUCAAAGUCUGUAUCUGUAGGAGCUAAGCCAUCUAGCCACUCAACUCAACGAUGGUUGGUUGAGAAUGAGAGAAGGAGUCGGUGGUGCUACCUCCAUGAGGGUUGAAAAAAUCAUCGACCCCCAUAGCGGCGGCGGGGGUUUGAAGCUAGAGUCAGCAAUUCCAAAAUUUGGCUCUGAUACCAUGCUAAAAUAUGAAAACUAUGAGAGAAUAUUUGUUUGUGGGAAUUUUCUAUGUAUUCUUCUCCUUGUAUGAGGUCAUAUUUUAUAAUACAACGAAACUUGAAUGGACAAGUAAAUAAUAAAUUCAUAAAUCUAUUUACAGUAAGAAAUCAUGAAUUAAAGUAAAUCAAUUACAAUUAUAAUAGGAAUUCUUGGUGUGUAAGGAAAGUAAGUCAAUAUCCACAAGUCACGCUAACAAAUCAUUGUGUUAAAUUAAUUAUCCAAAUCGUUCAAUCUUUAUGUUUUUUUUUAAUGAUUAUUCAUGUAAAAAAUAAACUAAAUCGGAAAUUGUUUAGACAUUUAGGUACGUAGGAUGUGUGCACUUUUCUUACAUGAAAUAUAGGAAUUGAAAGAAACCCAACUGUUUUAAUCCAAAGGGAAGGCUAAAUCUCAUGAAACCAAAAAGAAAAAGAUUUGUGUACGAAUCGAAGGAAAUAAAUGAAAAUAUGCUUGAAAGAAGUAAUCUUACAACAGGAAUGAAUAUCAUGGGGAAUGAAUAAACUUCACAAUACUCAAAGAAAAUCUCAUUGUGGUGUGAAACUUAUUCUGUCCUCAACGGCUCAUUUCUGAUGUUUUCCAAGAUAUAGUAGCCUGAUCUAUUUAUAGUGAAAUAUGACAAAAUUUCCAACAAAAUUAUGGAAACAUAAUUAAUUGUAUCCACUAUUGGGAUAUUUUUUACAUAACAUUUAUAAAUUUUCCUAUAAAAAAAAUAAUAUUUAUAAAUUUGAUAAAUAUACCUAGAUGCGAAUGUUACGAUGUUGCAAAAUUAAAAUUUUUCCCAUAUUUAAAAAAUUCAUGUUAUUCACCAACCACCAUAACUCUAGUGGCAAGUGUACUUAUUAAUAGGAAUGAGGGAAGUUAUGAAUCAGGAAAAUUAAGAAAGGGAAUGAGGAAUUGAAAUUGAAAUCGGAUCAACUACUCCUCUAGUUGAUUUGAUUUCUAAUUUUAAAGGUAUUUGAUGAUGAAUUUUAACAAUAUUGAGAAGCUGAAGUUCUAACAAUUAAAUGGACAACCCUUGAUGUAUUAUUACAAGUCGUGGUAUACCACAUAUUUCUUUGGCAUAAGAAAAUGAUGAAGCUUGAUUUUAUCACACCUCAAGAAGAAAUAUAUUUUGUGAAUCUUGGUUGUUAAAGAUUCACCGUGAAAUGAAUAAUAUCAUGAUAAACCUUAAAGGAUGAAAUGAGACUCCCCAUAUUUUGUUAUAUUAUAUGAUCUGGGCCGAAAGCCCAUGGAUCCCAAUAUGUCAAAAAUCCCAAACCUGAAGUUUUGGGUAUAUAAUAGUUCAUGCUCUUCACUACUAUAUUGCAAUAUUAUCAUGGCUUUUCCUCAAUUUAUAUUUCAUGCCUAUUUGAAAAAGGCAAUUAAAUUAUGAGGUUGUAUUUAACCCGGGCCAGAAGUUCCUGGCACACAUGCGUUGAAAUAUAUAAUUUGAGAGAUUUAAUGUGAUCAUUUUGAAAAGACGUACAGGUGCAAGUUUAUGAAUUUGCCCAAUUAUUAUUAACAGAAAGAGAGUAUACAACAGUUAAAUUGUUUUCAUCUGCAAGAAAUAAAGCAGACUUUGUAAAAUCUAUCAAGCUACAUUAUGGCUUAGAAGUUCCGGAAGAAAGAGAACAUCGCCUCUUGAGCUUAGACAUGAGCCUUUCUUGGUCUUUUAGAAUCUUUUGAUUGGAAAUCUGCAACAUGUCGAAUUUUGUCUACGUAUCUAUUGAGUAUGAACUCACCAGUUUAAACAAAGUUUUAUUUUCCUUUUUAAGGUUUUCAACCUCUCGCUAAGAAUUAUGAAGCAUUCUCCGAAGAGAUGAAUUUUCAGUCUUCAGCUCCUAAAUCUUGUUUGCUUUGGCAAGCAAAUGAUGAGCCAUGUUAGAAACAAAAGCAGCACUCUGAAUGCUAAAAGCCAUUGAGUCAUCAAUAACCUUUUUGUCAAACCUUCCCAUUAAUAAUAUCUCAUCCAUUGGAGUAAGGAAAUUCCUAGCUACUAUGAUAGCAGUUGUAUCAUUCAUCAUAACAGAAUCAUUAACCGUGGGAUGACGAUUUUGGGAUACAAAGGAUGGACGCUAGACUUUGGCGUCAUGAGUUGUUUUAGGAGCAAUAUUUAAAUUGAAAUGUUUUGGGCGAGAAGAAGAGGAAGUCAUUUUAAAGGUUUCGAGGAAAGUCUUAGAAAAGCUAAACUUUCAGAAAAUGGAAGGAAUUUGAGUUAUUCCAAUUAGGUCAUACAAAGACAAUAUCUAUAAGUAAAAAUGUGGCAAUAUUUCUAGGAUCCCAAUAUUUCCUUUUACUUUUCCAAAUUCCAAAACUUCACGUGGCUUUCAUUAAUGUCUGUCGGCACUUUAAUAGUUUCAAGGACUAUUUUUGUCAAAUUGAUCUUCCUUUUAUGGAUUUCACGGUGUCACUUUUUCAAAAGUGUCUCGAGAACUUCAAAAGUUUUUGUAGUUAAUUUGAAAUUUAACAUCUCACACUAUUCCUUUUCUUGUGUAUAAAUAUGUUACUAACAAACUUCAUUGCAGAUCACAUCUUAUCCAAAUGAUAGAAUAUCAACUUGUUUUUCCUAUUAGCGAGCGCUUGAUGUGCUUGAGAAGCGAAACUAUCUCUGAUCAUUUCUUUAGGAAGCGAGACUAUCCCUAAUCACGCCUCCUGUGAUCUCAAGGGACUGUAGGGCAGUUAAGAACGAGCACAUCGCUCUAAUCUCCUGAAGUUCUCCUAGGCUAGGAGAAAUAAGAGUUUGUUGUCUGUUACCUCACCUGUUUCCUACCCUAAUUGCUUACCUACCUUGCAAUCAAUAUCACAAUUCUUUGUAUCUUUUCUUUCUUUUUAUAACUCUCUGUUCCUAUGGGAUUUUGUUUCUUUAUAACCUUCAUUUGAAGAACAAAUCCAUGUUUGAACCUAACACUUAGGGUUAUUUUUUUGACAGGGAUGAAAGAAUUAGGAUUUUUGCUCUUGCAAGAUAUAACUAGAUCAUCAAGCAUUUCAUUAUAUUUGCUGAGCCGAUACGAGCUUGAGUGAUAUUUGAGCAAAGUUUCUCUCAACUAAGGAUGUAAGCAAUACUUGUAUUAUUUCAUGUUUGUACUCUCAUUAGUAUUUUGAUAUUUUUUACGAAAUCCUUAGUGGUAACCAAAUGAGGAGAUAAGACCGUUCUAGAAAAAUGACUUGUAUCAUGACCAUUCCAGAAGAAUGGCUUGUAUUCAUGAAUUAUUAAUGCAAAUUUUACAAAUUGCAAGUUGACUACAUUGAUAAUACAUUGCAUUAAAGCCUUAGAAGAGCAAAAUAUGGGUAUAGCAAUGAUCAAUAUGAUAGACACCUAUUUUGUGGCAAAUGAUAUGGAUUAAGGUCCUGGAAAGACAAUCCAUUAACAUGUCAAUAUUAAAAUAAUGCACGCCUAAUACGUAGCAAAUUAUUUGGUUUAAAGUCCCAAAAGGACAAUUCAUUAACAUGUAUGUAUUAAUCUGUGGCAUAGCUGCAACAUGACAGAUAUAUGGGUUCUAAAUAUCUCAACUCUCUAAAUGGAGAUUAUCCACGCCCUAUUAUAAAAUAACACUCCAUUGGAGGUUAUGAUCUACAUUCUCACAUAAUUCAUCUUACAAGAGAUGUCUGUUUGGAAAAAAAAAACAAUACAAGCGCACCUGGAGUGGCUUGGGUACCCAAAAGCAAAGAAAUACUUAUAAUUGAUGCAAGCACAUGCACAUGAGAAUGGUGGGAUCACAAAUUGAUGAAUGACAAUUUUUGAUUUUAGAGUAGCUACUCAAAUCUAGGGGUGGGCACUCAAACCGGCGAACCGGAAAUCCGAGCCGAACCGUACCGAACCAAACCGAAAAAACACCGAGUUGACCAAAAAGUCAAAAACCGGUCAAAAACCGAACCGGACCGGUUUGGACCGGUUCCGGAUCCGGUUCCAUGUCUUCAAAAACCGAACCGGGCCAAACCGAACCGGUGAAACUAAAAAAAUAUAUAAUUUCAAUAUAUAUUUAUAUUUAAUGCUAUAUUUUUAAUUUCACUAAAAAAAACCUAAUAUUUAUCCAAGUUCAAUGUCAAAAUAUCUCUCUUUUCUUACUUUAAUAUUUAUUUUUUAUAUGAAAUUGAGUAAUUUGUUAAUUUUCAAGUAAAAAAAUAAUAUUUCAGUUGAGAAUUGUAUUAAAAAACAAUUUAAAAAAAUAAUUUUUAUAAUUCGGUUCAAAACCGAACCGAAACCGGAACCGGACCGAAACCGGUUCAAACCGAACCGGACAGUUUUUGAAAUUUUUUUUAUUAAAACCGAACCGAACCAAACCGGAUGAAUAGUACCAGAUCGGUUCUACUUUUAGGCAAAAACCGGUCCAAACCGAACCGUGCCCACCCCUACUCAAAUCAUCAAUGAGCUUUGUUGAUUGGAACCACGUUCUAUUAUUAAAUGUCGACAAAAUCAUUGGCUAAAAUGGAAAAAGGCCAUUCCAUUACAGAUCAGAAUGAACGUGGAAGAACAAACCUAUAGUAUGAACCCCAAAAAGAUGUUAGCAUUGCAGGUUAUACAUAGGUGUUCGAGAUAAAGAGUAAUACACUCACUUUAUAUGACACAAAUGUUUCUGGUAGAAACAAGGAAUAUUGAGGUUCUCCAUAUUUACACAUGCAAUCGUGGCUUCUUAUUGCAUAUUUACGGAGACCAACAUGCUAUCUUUAAGGGUUAUUAAAUGCAUGGAAGCAUAUCACUAGAAGUGAUUCCCUGAAGAUGUAUAAGAGGAAUAAAUAGCUGAGUAUAAAGCUAUAUUGUGUGUCAUGAAGUGUAAUCCCUUAAAUUAAAUACCUGAAAGAUUAAAAUUGGAUGAAGCAAGUCUUUAAAGGACACGUGCCUGAAACACAAAUUUGUACUCAAUAUUAAUAUGUACAAAUUGCCUCAGAGAGUACUUUGAUUGAAUUCAAAUUUAAAGAUGUUGCAACGUAUUCAAAUGUUUAAAGUUAUGGAAAAUAUUUAGACUCCUGAAGAGCCUACAAAGAAUAACAUAUGCAAUUAUUCUUAAAAUAUACAAAAAUAUAUAUGAAUGAUUGACUAUACCAUAUAAAGUUUCAAUACUCUUAUCAUUAUAAAUCUGAGUUUUUAUUUAUUUAUUUAUAUAUAUUGAAAAACCUAUGAAAUUAUUCAAGUCAUUGUAUGCAGUAAAAUAUUUAUAAAAAUAGCCUAGAUAUUGUUGUAUUAUUCUGACCUCAAUAGGGAUUAAAUAAAUGAAGACAUGCAUACAUCCUCCAAUGAUAGGGGUGGGCAUCAAUCCGGCCGAUCCGGUCAAUCCGGCCGAACCGAUUAUAUUGGAUUGGUUUGGUUUGGUUUUGACCAAAGAAAAAGUCAACAUUUUGAAAAACCGAACCGAACCGGUUUGGUUUGGUUCAGCUGUGGUUUGAGAGUUUUAAAAACUGUCAUAAACCGAACCGGACCGAUUAUAAAUUAAUUUAUUAUUUAUUUAAUUUAGUUUACAUGUGGCAAGGUUUGUGUGCGUUUUGUGAGUCCGCGUAUCUGAAUGUUGGUGCACGUUUUGAUCUUCUAAUUUGCAUAUCCCAGUUAUUUGUGUGUGCUUGUAUUUCCCUCUCUUUCUAUCUCUACUAUGUGUGUUUGCUCUUUGUGUUGUGUGGCUCUUCUUACUCUAUCUAUCUUAAUUAAUGGGUCCAUUUCAUAAUUUUAUACGCAUUCAAACUCCACCUCUGUGAUAAAAGUAUUUACCUCUCUGUGAUAAAAGCUUUUCAUUUGUUUGUAUUGUGAUGAAUGCAAUGAGUAAAUUUAAUGCAAAUUUUGUAUAUGUUUGUUUUGAUGAAAAUUGUGAACUUAGAUGCAUGCUAGACAUUGGACAACCUUUGAAUAAAUGGAAUGAUGUUGUAUUAGCCUUUGAUGGAAUGGAAUGGAAUGAUAUAAUGGCAAAAUGUUAGCAUUAUAAUGUAAGAGCAGGUUGAAAAAUGCAUGGUUUUGUGUUAGGCACAAACCGGCCGAACCAAUCCGAACCAAACCGAUUACAAGUGGUUUGGAUUGGUUCGGUUUUCAUUAUGAUUUUAGGCUAAUCCGAACCAAACCGGACCGUUAUUUUCUUAUUGGUUCAGCUGUGGUUUGAGAGUAAAAUCGAACCAAUCCGGACCGUGCCCACCCCUAUCCAAUGAUGCUACAAGAGCAAGUUUUAUACAGGCAUUACAAAAGCUCAAUCUGUGAAGGACGAAUGUGAUAGCAAUAUUAGACCAUCAAAUAAUCCAUGUAUGGAGUUAUCAAGGAGAGUAGUUCUUUAGGGGGAGCAUCCAACAAUGUUGUAAUAUUGAUUCACAAAAGUAGUACCAAUUAUGACAUUCAUAGAAAGUAAACAAUACGGCUUAAAAAUAUUUUUGCUAAGCAUUAAGGAGAGCAUGCAGUCAAUAAAGAUAAUGUCGCAUGUGUGUCAGGGUUAUACACAGUUUUAUGUUACACAUGGUUAUGUACUUUUUUUUUCAUUUCGACCAGUUUUUGUCUCACUGGGUUUGACUGGCAAGGUUUUUAAUGAAGUAUAGUCCAUGCAUGGUAAACAUCCAGGAGAGUUGUAAAUCCAUGAUAAGAUGGAUGCCCACCAUAUCUACAUACGCCAUGUAAUACCUACCUCUCCCAUUACACCUUUGUGAUGUAAUUGAAACCUACCACUUAGAACAUCCACAAUAGGCUCCCUAAAUCACCUCCUUAGACAAAUUUUAGGAAGGAAUCGUAAAAACGCAACUCCAACCACGCUCCCCAUCCACCUCCUAAAAUAGGAAGUCCUCUAGGAACUCCUAAAUCUGAGGAGAGAGAAAAGACUCUUAGUGACUCCCUAUAAUUUAAUGCUGCUUUAUUUAAUGAGUAUUUCAAACCUUUAUUUAAUUCUAAUUAUUUUUUAUUUUAUUUUUUAAUAGAGAUGGGUCAAUCAAAAAAGAGUUAUAGCAUUUAUGACUCUCCAAAUUAAGGAGUAUGGUUGGAGUUGAAAUUUUUUAGAGAACUCCUAAAAUAGCUUUCUUAUAUUUUUAGCUAAAUUUUAGCUAAGAAAUGAGAACAUCAUUGUGGAUACUCUUACGUAGUAAACUAUGUAUUUCCUAUGCCUAUAAAUAGACACCAAAGAUAGAUGAAAAAUACACAAGACUAGAUGAGUGAAAACUCAUGAUUAAUCUCUUGAGAAAUGUUCAUCCAAAUUUCUCUCCAAAAUCCUCUUAAUUCUAUAACAUUUUUAAAAUUUUAGUUUGGUCCUCAUGAUUUUCAUCAAAAUAUGACAAGGCGCUCUUUCCCUGAACCCACCCCGACAGCUCCACCAGGAUCGUAUCUACGAAAUACAUUCACCCUCACCCGAACUUCUUCCCAGUUCACCUUAGACAUAAGCAGUUUCGAAAGAGUUCGACAACAUGGGUUAAAGUCAAACACAAAACAUCAGCCCAUGUGGAACGGUCUAUAAAAAAAAUGAUACAGUUGAGUUCCAAGGUGAGUCGUCCUUUUUGGGGGUAACGCGAAAAUUGGACCAUUGUUCCAAAGAGCACUAGCAUAAUUAGGCCUUGCCAAAAUACAUUUACAGGGUAACAGAUCAAACUAAAUAACCAAUAGUUUUAUACAGACUCUUCAUAAACAUCAAGACCCAUCUUAUAUUACAACAGAGCCAAGGCUUUAAACAUAUACAUACCUUUUCUCCAGUUUGACACACUUUCGUGAUGUUCCAUCAAACCUCUAGCAGCGACAUUAGCAAUGAGAUGAUCACCAACAAAAGCACAUAUCCUAUAUACAAUACUAAUUGAUCUCAGUUUCUCCAAAAAUUAUCAAAACUCCCUCCUCUUGUUAAUUCUGCUGAAUUUGUGAGCUGUGAUGGCAUUUAGCUCUUCUAUGUACACUUCUUUCAAUGAAGUUUAGGCAAAUGCUGGGAUGCUGGAAUUUUGGCGAUCCCUAUUGAGACAAUCAAAUCCCUCUACUCUAACUGCAGCAGGUUUAAGUCCGUACUUCAUUCUAACACAACCUGCUUUGCGUGGGGACGAUAAAGUAGAUGGGGAUGGAGAUGCCGAAACAGGAGUAAACUUCUCAUCUCCGAAUCGGGCAUCUUGAAUUAAUGGGUUAGAAGCCCUACUGGGAGGGGAGCCACAAAAAUAUGGGGGUGAGGAGGCAACAUCGUUCAAAGAUUGUUCCAAUCCAUAGCCCUCCUGUAGACACCAACAUGUUAGUCAAUCAAAAUACCAUACAUCCAAUACAAAACCAUAACAUUACAGAAUCAAUCUAAACAAUCACAUCUAUAAUAUUUUGAAAAUUGGAAAAUGACACAUUGUUGAAAGCAUAAUUUAUGUCUAUCCUAUAAAAGAUUAAUUUGUUUAAAGUUUAAACUUAAGAUAAAGUUCCCAUGAAAGAAUUCUCCAAAGAACAGACAGGCAGCAAAAGAUUAAGUCAAGGGAUCACCAUGGUUGCUGCAUUGGAAAAAAAUAAAAAACAUUGUUUUGCAACAGAUAUGAUACACAUUUUAUUUUAUAAGGGAAAGAAAAAAACACAAAGAUUAAAUCAAUUGCAGCUCCAAUUAAUUGCCUCUGCGCAUUAACUGCAGCCAGAUUAUCAUCAACAUAAUAUCAAUUAAUCAUAAGGAAACGAAAUAACAAUUUACCUUCCUGAGAAUGAGGUCCAGAAGCUCUGCCCCAGCUUUUGAGUCACUAAACUCAGAUUGAUGACUGCUGAUUACAAAAGAAAAUUGUUAUCAGCUAAAAACAAGCAGAAAAGUAAAAUAAGGUGGGAAGGACAGCAUCGGUUAAAAGAGGUACCUCAUCUGCCAUCUCAAGGGCCUAAUGGGGCUGUUGGACAAAAUCCCAACUCGCCUAGGCUUGGGGCACACCACAGGGUCCUUGGUAUCAGAGAUAAAGGCAGACCCUCUGACGUCUUCACAGCCCACAUAAGAGGCGUUCUGGUGCUGAACAUUGAAAUGGUUCAUUUUCGAAACCGUUUCUGUUCCACAAAAGAACGCCUGUCCAUAUUACAGACAACACCAUCAGAAAAGAAAACAAAAAGCAGAUAAACUUCCCCAGAAAUAUUCCAAAUCCAUAGAAAAUCUUAAAAUAUUGUUUCACAGAGUUGAUCUCCAUUUAGUUGCAAAAUAAAAAUGACCAAAAUAAUGAAUCCGAGUCAGACACGCAACAUGUUCUAUACAAAUGAGCAUAGAAUUUCAUGAAACCAAAAUAACUUGGAAAGAAACACGCACAAAAACAAAACCCGUAAACUUUAUCCCCUAUUGGUUUGAUUUAUUCUUCUAUUUUCUAGCCAAUCAAACAGAAAGACAGAAGAUGCGGUCGAUUUCACAACAGAUCUAAGUCACACCUUCGAAAAAUCGGAGCUUUCCUCCGUCACAUACACCAACUUCAAAACAACACCACCCAAAAAGCCGUAAUGGUUCACAUCAAAACCUAAGCUGAGACGGCUUCGACACCAUUUGGAAGUCGCCCAAAAUCGCAGAAGAAGUGGGGGUUUUAAAUUGGUUUUAGCAAAUAGUAAAUACAGCUCAAACUGAUUUUACACAACAAAAUUUGACCACAAAACUUAGCCUUCACAAAAAUUACGAAAGGUAAUAUAGAAAAUGAAUAAAUAAAUUACAACGACGAACAUUUGACUCGGAUCUGUUACACAACAGUUUCCGGGAAAUAGACUAAAAAUAGGAAAUUAAUAACAUCCAAAUAUUCAAAGCAAUAGAUCUAAAACAAACAGAAGCAAAGCUACUAUGAUUUUUGCAGAGAGAGAGAGAGAGAUACCUGAAGAGAAUCCUCCGUAGGAAGAAGGAAGAACGCAAAGGGAGGUCAGAGCCACAAGGAAGAAGCGAAGAAAAGGGAUCUGGAAUUCAUUUUAUACUGGUGAAAGUAGAGUCUUGCCAAGGCUGACACCACGCCAUUUAAUCCACGUGAUUUUUUAUCUGAAUCCGCGUGAAUUUGUUGUGAAACACUGAAAAUGGAUUUUGGUUUCACGUAUUUGUGACUGCUGGAAAGAGUCAAAUUUUUGUCUAUUUUUUCUUAAUUCUUUUUUGUGCCAAACUUCUUAAUUCUAAUUUGGGUUAACGACAUUUUACUCCCUACAUGUUCGGGAUCAUUAUCAAAAUAGGCCACGAGGUUUCAAUUUCAUGAAUAUCAAAUUCAACGUUUUUAAAUAUGACUAAAUUACACUUUUCAUCAACUUAAUCGUUUAAUUUUUUGUAGGCUUAAAUACUAAAAUGGUCUUUGUGUUUUAUUAUGUUGGCCAAUUUAGCCCCUGUUUUUUCAAUUUAACUAAUUUGGUUCAUGUGUUUAGCACCGUUAGCCAAUGUGAUCCAAUUCGUUACACUUUUGUUAAAAUAUUAAUUAAAAAUAAAUAAAUAUUUUGAAUUCAAUUUUAAAAAUAAAUAAUCAAGAAAUAAAAAUAAGAUUUAAAAGCUAAAAGAAAUAAAAAUAUGAUUAAUCUUAACCGCAACACCCUUCUCUCUUUUCUUUGUCCCCCCAACAACCAUUGGUAGACCCACAGAGGAUUAAGGAGGUGCAGCUGCACCUCCCCUAACCGAAAAAUGCAUUGAAGAUGCUGGAAUUUUGCCCCUUUAUUUGUGCCUACCAAGUGUUCAAUUAAAUGCCACAAACAAGCUUUUGUGUUGCUAUUGUGUGAGACCCUAAAUAUUUACCUUAGAUUGUUGGGCUUGAUAUCACGAUCAUGUAGGAGAAUCGAUUCAUCAAUUAGAGAAUGUUUGUAGUUACAAUCCCAUGCUUCUCAACUUUAAUUCCUUUUCAAAAUGGGCCACUAGCAAGGCGCCAUAUGUCAAAUUUUAACUAGACCAACUUCAAAAAUUCUUUAAAAAUUCAUAUGUGCUCCGAAAAAAUCACCGAAAAUUACCCCGAACUUGUAAUCACAUGUACUUUUAUCUCAUGACCUCCAAAUCACAUGUAAUUUUGGUUAGAUUAAUUUUUAUUGAUUUUGGUUAGAUUCAUGGAUGAUUUCAUAUGAAUUUUGGUAAACUAAUUGUGUAAUUGACAUGGAUUUUGUUCAUAUUUGAUAUGAAUUUUGGUAAACUAAUUGUGUAAUUGACAUGGAUUUUGUUCAUAUUUGAUAUGAAUUUUGGUAAACUAAUUGUGUAACAUAAAUUUUGUGCAUAUUAGUUUAUAUACAAAAUAGAAUGUAGUCAGUUAGCCUUAGACAUAAACUCUUAUUUAUUUUAAUUAUGAAUAACAUUAGUAUUAUUUAAUUUGUAAGGGUAUUUGGUUGUCUAAUUUUUUUUUCCCCCUUUUAGUCUUUUUAAUAUUGCCCCACUCUUGAAAAAUUCAUGGAUCCACCACUGUACCACCCCAACUACUAUCCCCACGCACACCCAAAAGCCCUAACUUCUCCAACCACAACCACACCACACUCGAAAUCUAAUCCACCCCACCCCAACU